CAAUUUCCAUUCGGAAUAGGAUUGGCUUAUCCUUAUCCAAACCAAAUUUCCUCUUAUAAUAAUUUAUAAUUACGGCACUUCUCAUUCAUUCCUCCUCUAAGUUUGACUUUCCCAAAACGCUAUUUCUUUCUUUCUUGUUCAUAAUUCCAAAACCCCAACCGUUCUCCGUCUGUUUUGCUCCGGUGGAAUCCAGCCACUGCCGGGGUUUGGCCACGACGACUUCAAUCAAAGGCAGGAAUCACGCAGCAACCUCAACCGGGAGACGCUUUUCAUUGAAGCAUUCAAAGUUGUUCAUAGUCUACGCAGCCAUACUUCUGAGUUUGUGAAUUCACUCGAGAUUGUAAUUAAUUUGUAUACAGGCUGUGUGAGAUUAUAAUAAAUCCAUUUGUUCGAGUUCAACUGCUUCUUCUUUCGAUUGUUCUUAUUACUAUAGUCUUUGUUUGAUCGUUGUUGCAUUCGUUAGAUCGAUUUCUUGAUCUGCUUCCGUAAAACAGAGGAAACCCUAGAUCGAGCAACAAUGUCGUCGAUGACAGUGCGUUACAAGUUUAUGAGUGAGAAGGAUUUCCACGAUAUCCGAUUUCCAGAGCGUUACACGACUGUCCGCGAUCUGAAAUUGGCAAUUUUCAAUUCUAGAUUCAAAGAUAAAUAUAAUAAUAAAAAUAGUCAGUAUCUUAGUAUCUGGAACGGCUGCUGUUUAGGAACUGAUCACGAUCUUCACAUCAUCGAUUCCAAAACGAACACCCCGUAUAAGAACGACUCCGCUCUGAUCUCCGAUCAAGCCGCCGUUUUAAUCUGCCGCGUCGCAGGCGAUCGCGAGCGGCGGCUCCUGGACACUGAGCCCAUCGAUUUACGGCCACAACGAGAAGCCGAUUCCGAAAGAGUAGCAGUACUAGUACUUGUAGAGUAGCAGCACUAGUACUUUAGUAGUGAUAUUACUAGUGUUGGUAGCAACAGUUGCUCAACUGCGAGUACCAUGUAGAAAUCCGAUAUUUGUACUGUGUGCUGUGAGUUUAUAAUGAGAAUCAUUCAUCCAUAUAUUGACUUCUAUAUUUCUUAUAAGUUCUCAUUCAACUAGCUAGCAUAUAAGUGUUUCAAAAACAUUACCAUUGAUCCAACCGGUUUAACCAUGAAUCACUCAUUAAAACACUUUGGUAUAAGCUCGAAACAUAUGCGUGUGUAAUUAAACUGACAUUACUUGCAGUUUCUAACGACUCGAGUGGUAGAGUGGAACAACAUAUCAUUAUUCAUUAGACUCAUUGCACUGAUUUGAAUGUAAUACCGUGUCAAUUACUCAAGGUAGAUCUAAACAAUCAUAAGACGAAACGGGUUGCAAUUAAAAUAAACUCUGGUUAAGUAUAUACAACUACCCAACUAAUUGGUCCUUGAUAAUUUUGGAGUCAAGCUGUUAGUCAAUGUACAGAGAAAAACAAUACUUGGACUGAUAAAUGAAUAGUGAAGUCACAUGCAUCAACCAAAUUUCAAAGAUCGAUAACAGUAAUUAGAAAACCAACCGCUAAAUGACUGAAAGUUGACGUGCAGUUUCCUGACAUUUAAACCAAUGCGCGUACGUAUAUGAGUAGUAUAUAUACGGCCUUCACCAUGUUGGCCAAUCUAAAUUAACCCACUUGAACUUAAAAGAGGAAGAGAGAGAUAAUGGCAGGACUUCAGAGCAAAACAACGGUGGUCGGAUUUCUAAAACUGGUUAUUAUGGUGUUCCUUUGUUGUGUGGCGGUGGAAAUAAAGGAUGAAGGAGGAUAUGUGACUCGAGCUUGCUUUAAUGGUUUUGUUGCUUUGUUUGUUCUAAUUAUAUAACAUCAACUUUGAAUCAUAUGAAAAGAAAAAGUACCCGCAUGUGAAAAUUUGCAGUGGAGCUCAAUUGAAACGGUCACUGGGGUUAUGCUUGUUUAUCUUUACUACAGUAGCUGUAAUAGACCACUCAUCAAUAUUAUAACAGAUUCAAAUAUGAGCGAUACUGUUAUGUAUCUGUACAAGAAAACUAUAACAUUACACAAGGAAAGCAUGACUUUUGUUUGGAGAUGGUCUCAGUCGUCCUCUGCGAAGUACUUAUCCUCUGCAUCACGAGUUAUGUCCUCGAACCAAUGAUCAUCCAACGUCUCAUCCUCGUCGAUUUUUGCAUAAUCAAAGUUCCCAUCGUCUUCACCAGAGAGGAAUUUCUGGUGCAUUAUCGCAGUAAAUUGGUCCAUCCUAUCUUCCAUCUCCUCAGCUGAUAAAGUUUCUUCCUUGUCAUGCUGUUCAGUGGUUGACGGAGCACUUCCCUCGACGUUAAUCUGAAGGGCAGAACAGAAUGAAUCGCAUAUAUAUCAAAAUUGAAGAAAAGGAACAUCAUAAAGGACUUUCAUAAGAAGAUAAACGACUUACUUGAACCUUCAUUGCAUUUUCUUCAUCAUCAUCAUCGUCCUCCUCUACUUCUUCUUCCUCCUCCUCCUCUUCAUCCUGCUGUUGGCUUUCUCCAUAACCACCAACCCAUUCACUCUCCGAGACACCUAGUCUCUGCUGCUCUUCCCGAAUCUUUGACACCAGUAUCGCUUCCUCAGCUCUCCUAAUCAAAGUCUCGGACCACCGUUCCCCUGGCUUUGCCAUGGUCCUUGCACUUAGAUCUUGAAACUUGCCGACAAAUUCAUGAUGCAAAUAUGGCUCCCUGUGCCUCAUUGCGUCUUCAGAGAAAUAGCUACCGUCGCCUAUCAGUUUAUUCAAGUACGCAUGCCUCCGGUUCUUUGCUGCAACUGACUUUGAUCGCAGAUCUUCGUCAGUUGGACUCAAUUUGCUUCUGAUAUUCUUUAGGUGCCAUUUUAUUUCGUAAUCGUCACCAAGAGUAUCAAACUCAUGAAGCUCAUUAGAAGUCAACUGCCCUCCGUACCGCUCUAUUUCAACAAGAUACAGCUAAACUCAGCAUUAGCCGGAAAUUAGUAAUGAAAAGUUGAAAUGAACAAGGACAAACAACAUAUAUAACUUGGUAGAACUAUGACGACGAAACAGAACUAACUAUUGAUCAAAGAUAAUGUCGACAAAUUAAUGAUCAUUUUUCCAUUCAAACAAGAGAUUGAGCUGGAAAAAUACAGUUUUAUGCAUACAUAUCUCUGUGUGAGUGGAAAUUUCAGGCUUUCAGCAACAAAACAAUCAAGCAAGUCGAAGUACAACAACCUUUAUGCAGCAGCCUAAUCACUGACUAGUUACCACAAAAGCUUAAAAGUUCGUGCCUCUGCAUUGUAUUGAGCGAUCAAAGAGAACCGAACUUAUGGAAACCCUAAAAGUCGUGAAACUCUGAAUUCAACUUCCACAACAUUCUACAAUUCAAUUAUUAAAUGGAAGAAACUUACAGGAGUCGUGAAGACGAUAACAGGGAGGUAACGUAAGGAGGAAAAGAUGAAAUACCUAGGAAGACGGCGGGGUCGCGGGAGAGAAGGUCAAGCAGGAGAGACUUGCGGUGGGACGGAUCAGCCGCGUGAAGCUGUAGAGAACGAGGGAAGUAGAGGUUGUCUACCGAGGAGAGCCUCAUCGUUAUGCUCUCCAUGGCUGCUUCUUUGAUUACCUUUCCCAGAAUCUUGUCUCCUUUUGCUGAUUCCAUCGUAUUAUUGUCUGUGCCUUGGCUGCUCCGAUGACGCUGAAAAUCCCAGCUUCAGGCGUCGCCGUGUGGACGUAGUAGUAGUUUACUAGUUAGGCGGUGAGUUGGUCGGGUUAAACCGUACCCGAGACUCUUUACGAACUCGUCCAUUAAGGCUUGCAGUUUGGGCUGGGCCGAGUAGCUUUAGAGGGCCGAUCCAAGAAGGCAAGUAGUAGGUAGUAUUAAAAUAUAUUAUUCGAUGCUAGCUAGCUAGCAAAGAUAAUAUCAAAAUUGGAUCGUAUUCUGAUUCCACAAUCGCAGUGCCACUUGUUUUCUUCCUAUAUAAAUAUCCUACCAAUGCACCCUCUCUCUACUAAGACCUCAAGCCUAGCUCGACACACAUUCUAUAUUCAAAUGGCAUCCUCAAAAGCACCGGCUGUCGGAACACAACUCUUCGGCCAGGCACCUAAGAAGGACACAGCAACAGCUACCAAGUCUGCUACUAGUACUGCUUCCAAAUCUAAGAAGCCUUCUGCUGCUCCACAAAAGGCCCCUCAGCCUCAGGCCACUAAGAAGAAGGUCAUUUUCCUUUCUUUCCUAUUACAGUUGAGAUUACGGUUGAGAUUUGUGAGGGCUUUUUAUAUCGGAUCUGAUUUAAAAAAAAAUGGUUGUUGUGUUGUUGUACAGGCCGCCAAAGGAGGGAAGGCAGCAAAGAACUAACAGAGGAAUACGAGAAGCGUAUAUAUAGUUACUAAAUCAAAAGCAACUAAUUACGAUGAAAAAGAAUAUUGUAUUAAUUAAUUAAAAAAAUUACUCUUGUACUAAUGUAUUACUAGCAGCUGAAGUGGUUAACUACCAACUUGCAAGCUUUGUGAUGAUCAAAUAAAUAUGAACAAUAUUUACAUAGAGUCUGGUUUGCAUGUGGCUCCUGCAGUCAAACCAAUUUAACGGCGUUUUCCCUUUCUUUGUCUCUUCCUCUCCCUCUGUCUUUCUUUUUCUUUCUCCCUCGCAACCUCUCUCUCUCUCUCUCUCUCUCGUAUGGUCACGACAAGGAGAUGCAGAGUCCCAAAUCAACACCGCUGAUUGGUGUUAGUCCAUAGUUUCAAAAUUACAAAGUGAUCUGAGCUUGAAAAAAAAGGAAGAGGGGGAGAGGGGGAGAAAGGGAGAUGGAGGGGGAAGGAACCCCGUUUGGUUGCAGGAGCCAUAUGCAAACCGGACUCUAUGUAAAUAUUGUCUUUGCUUACCCAGUAUAUGCAUGGUUAAUUGGUUAUGUUAAUCUUUCUUUCCAAUUUAAUUUACUGUAUAUAUGUUCUCUUAACACACAAAAAUAUAUUUGACUAUAGUUGGGGUUUUGAUGGUUGAGUUUGAAUUACAUCGAAUGUUUUUAAUUAUUUGAUUCAACAGGAUUCUUCCCAAAUAAAGUGAUGUUAGGUAGUGAGUUUAUUAGGUAACAUAAAAGUAAGAGACAUAGAGGAAAUGAACAAGUAAAGAGCACAUACCGAAAGUAUUAUUGUUAUAAUCCCUAUAAUUACGAUAGUACUCUACCUUUUACGGUAAGCAUGACAUUAUUUAUAAGCGGGAGUUUAACGGUGUAGCUUUAUCUUUACGGCCGAUUCCAUCAAAGCGAUGCUGACCAUCAAGCUGACACGUAUGCCUUCAACAUAUCUACCCAACCAUGACGGUCCACCAUGUCCGCAAAGCACAAAAAAGGUUAGGGCUAAAUACUGAGUAGGCCGCCAAUCACAAAUCAUCCAUAUUAUCAUAUUGGUAUUGCACCACAUCAAUGUGUUGUAGAUGUGAGUUAAUAACCAGAAUCAUCGAUUGACUUCUAUACUUCUUGAAUUAUUAAGUACAGUUGACCCUAAACACAAUUAAAAAUAUUACAGGUGCCACAUUGAAAUUUUCUGCCUGAAUGAUCGGAACCAAAGUUAAUCUGUUGAUCCAAAUGGUCGAAAGAAAACCUUUUUCGGGCGACCUGCAAUGACUAUGCUGUUUAUUAAUUAAAUUAUCUUCGACGAUGCCAUAAAAAAAUAUAUACGAUUGUUUGUUGAGAAUGAUCACCAAAUCCGCUGUAGCAAACUCUUCAAACAGUUAUCUUCCAGGUCUGAUUUCGAUCCCUGGGUUGGAAUUCCGGGUUCGAAUCCCGGCAGCGGAAUGAAUGUUUUUUUUAAACAAAUCGUGUGCUUUUAACUUUUUUAUUUUUCUUCUUUUAAUACUUUAAUUAUCUUCGAACAUGUUGCAAAACAUAACUAAUUGUUUGUUGAUUUCAAUCACUAAAUCUAACGUAGCACAACUUAAUUUUUGUCUUUUCAGGUUUGAUUUUGUUCCCUGGGUUCGAAUCCUGACGGUGGAAGUGUUUUUAACUUUUUUUAUCUGUUUAAUAUUUUGGUCAAUUGUACUUAACAAUGGCCCAACCGGUUCGAUUAUGAAUUACUCCACAAAAUAGUUCAAUACAGCCUCAAUGUAUAUAUAUGUGUGUGAUUCAACCAUUAUAAUUUGUAACGAUUUAAGUGGUUAAACCCAAAACUCAUUAGUCUGAAUAUAUAAACACCAUGUCAAUUACUCAAAACAGAUCCAAACAAUCACAACCGGUAAUUAGUCCUCGAUUACACUUACUACUUACUAAAUUAAUGGGGUCAAUAAGCAGAGGAAAAAAGAAUAGCUAGUUAUGUUGGGCAGAAAACAUUAAAUAGAAGUGAGUCAGAUGCAUGAAGUAGAUAGAUGUCAACAGUGGAUAACAUAAACAUUGAAAAUUCACAAGCAAGAAGUAUUGAGUUAAAUAUAAAUUCGGCCUUCACUAAAUUAACCAUCUUCGGAUCAACCACUGAGAGAUUUUGGCAUGCAGCAAGACAUUAAUGGCGGUGAGGCUUCUCAAACCAUUCAUUUUCGUCUAAUUUUGGUGUGUGGCAGUGGAAGCAGAUCGCGAUGGCUCUUCCCCAAACCGUAAUUAGCAUUCAGUAUUCAAUUCACUUUGUGUAUACAUAAACAUGUUCAGUUAAGUGAUUAUUUUAAUUUGGAAUUUUUCGUUAUUAUAUUUAUUAGGUCAGCGAAUUCCUCCUCCACCACAGCAGCCGCCUCCUCCUCCACCCCCACCUCCUCCGCCUUCUCCACCGCCGGCUUCGUCAGACAUGAUACCGCUUCCACGUACAGCUCGGCAUUAUGCUUGACACCGCCGGGAAGUAAAGAAUGAAGGAGGAAAUGUGACAAGAUAACGGAAAGAAGCACUUGCUUUGAUGGUGAAGCUCUUGCUUUGAUGGUUAAUGGUUUGUUUGUUCUAAUUAUAUCUCAACUUUGAAUGAUAUGAAAAGACCAAGUUCCUGCAUAUGAACAUUCCCUGCAAAAAUGUUUGCUCUCGUUUGGUAUGGAACAAUGGAGAGUGAGAGAAAAGUAGAAAAGGGAAAUUGAGGAAUGAGAGAUUGUGUAAUUCUAAUUAUAUUGUUUGGUGAUAAGAUUUGCAAUUGAAAUAUAAUUUGNNNNNNNNNNNNNNNNNNNNNNNNNNNNNNNNNNNNNNNNNNNNNNNNNNGUUUAAUUUUAAAAUUUUAAUAUUUUCUAAUUGUUGCCGAAAUUUAAACGUAUUGCUAUGUUGAAACAAUGUAUGAAACUAUGAACGUAUUAAUAUUGUACCAUACUCAUACCAUAUCUUACUAAAUAUAAAUGAGAAUAAAUCCGACACCUACCACUCCUUUUAUUUAUUAGGGAAGAAGAAUUAAUAUUUGUACAUAUCUACAACCAUAUAUUAUAAUAUAUCAUGGCUAAUCAUAUAGUUUUUUCAAGUAUGCAUUACAUAAUUGCAAUAAUAUAUUACAUGUUUUGGCUAAUCAAACCAAUAUCUCGCUUUUAUUCCACACCUUGGUUGUUAUAAUCGUUAUAGCCGUAAAGGAAGUUGGGGGUAAUAAUGACAAUAUAUCCAUUAUUUAUAAAAACUCGGAGUUUUGAAGAAAACAUCCUCAACACCAUGUAUUUGAAAAAUGCACAUUUGAGAGGAAAUGUGUUCUCAGAGAAAAAGUGUUUUCGUAAAACACUGGCCAAUUAAAACUAUACAAACAAGUGAUUCUGUGUUACUCUGAGUUUUGAUAAAACCCUCCUAAUUUCCUCUAUACCAAACGAGGCCUUUAUAAAUUUUAAGUUGAAGGUAGCCAUCCAAACUGAUCAUUUAUUUUAUCUUUCGGUAGGAAUUAACCCAGGGUUAAAAAUAUCAAUCCAUACAUUUACAUUAUUAUUUAAUGAACUCAUACUCGAUAUUUGAUGAAUUCGAUUAACUAAAAUUGGAUAUUGUUUUUUGAGCGAAAUAUGAAAUCGGUGUGAUUAAUAUUAUAAAGAAUUUAAUUUUUUUUAAUUUGUUUGACGCUUCAUUUACUUAAAAGAAAAUAAUAACAUGACUAGAGUGCAAUUAUUAAAAGCCGGUGGGUUAGCGAAAAUCACAACAAAUCCCAUUUUGCUUGGCGGUGGAAAUUAAAUUGUGGUUUUGCAAAGCUCUGAUAUAAGAUUAAAAAUUAUAAAUAAAUUUAGUGCAUUAAACUAUUCUAUUCAGAGGUGUAGAUCCACAUACGGGAUUACAUAGAUCGCGGAUUUUUUGCGAAAUAAAAAGGUAUCAAUUCUUGUUCUCAUACAUACAACAGACAAAAGGACUAUGAAGGUGAGGAAAUAAAUAGACAAUAACCUAAAAAAAAGGAAAGAGAUCCGACUGAAGACGGUGAACGUUAUUAGAGCUGAUUCGGAGCUCCACAACCCCCUAAGAGCCAAAGGUCACUAGAGUAACCAGCUUACUUUUACAUUGUCCAUAGUGCGUCUAUUCUGUCCAGAAACAUUCUGAUUUUCUACAUGCUUAUUGGUUGCCCUUAAUUCUCUAUAGUUGUUAGGCAUGUUUUGGUCGAUUCUUAAUUUUCUAUGCCUUUGUACCAUUCUCACCAUGUCUAUUAUGAAGUGGUCUAUGCUUAAUAUGAGUGCUUUGGUUACAACUCAUAACAUAGUCAUAGAGUUGCUUAGAGUUAAGUAUAUCAGACCAUCCAUGAACUUCUACAAAUCGUACACUCUUGAUCUGGAAUGUAUUACGGUGACCUAGGUUUCUAUGAAUUCACAUAUGCUGAUAAGUAUAAUACUCAAUAUUGACCUGUCAAGUUUUCUAUGAAACCUAACUAACUUAAUGCUUCAUGAUAUCAGGCGACCUCUAUGCUAGAGAUUUAGCAAGCCUGUAGGUCCUAGACGUUGCAUUUUAGCACUUAAUCUCUCAAAGAAUGGUUACAAUUUUAGUACUUAUGUCAGAUGAACAAUUAAACGCCAAACCCUCAAUCUUGAUCUCAUGUUCCAUUGUAACAACUGUUUAUCAUUUUACAAAAAAAAACUAACCCUACAACCUGCCGAAAAGACAAAAAAAAAACAUGUUUACACUAAAAUCCGAACAAAGCUAGUUUUCAGAAAGAAACGAACGGAAUCCAAAGUAGAAUGGGAUAAGGAAACCUAGCUAAUUGCAGUAGGUUAAGGAAAACCCAGACCGCGUCCCUCCCUAACGGCUCUCAACCCCAACCAGUCCACCACUAUAUAAACAAACAGCCUCCCACCCAUUACUCACUACUUGCUACUCACGGCUCGGAUAUUUUCUUGUUACUACACAACAUCAUCAAACGGUCACAACAAAUUUCCUUUUCUUCUUCUCCUUCUUCUUUCUUUCUAAUUUCGGCAUUCAACUUGAGAAUAAUGAGUGCUCCUAGCGCUGUAGAUCAUGACGUAGCAUCAUCGACCAUGAAGAAGAAUGUUAUCAGAAUCAAAUUAGGGCCAAAGAAAGACGGCGCUGAUCAUCAGAUGAUGACCAAGGCCAAGUCGGUGUUGUCUCCUGAGGAAGAAUACGAGAGGAAACUGGAGAUAAGUAGGCGGAAGCUAAAGAGAGGCUAUGAGGAUCACCAAGAGUCACGGAAGCGCUCUAGGAUUGUAGUCCUGGACGACCCCUACUCUUCGUCAAAGCCGCCUAGCAAGGUGAAACAACAACAGUGGUUUGGUGGUGAUGAUGAUGCAAGAAGUAAGCCGCGGCCGCAUAAGAAGGCUCCAAAGAGGUUUGUUCGUGUUCUCAAGGAAAGGAAUGAAGCCCGCCUCCUCUGUCAAGUUCGUCCCGACAUCGUUAUUCAUCACCACCGACCUUUUUUUUGAUUAGUUCCUCACCGGCCGGACAUUACAUUAAUGUUCUUCCAUUCAUUCAUUAAUUGAUUUCACCGCCGUGGUUGGAGAUCUUGAUUAUGAUCUUUAAUUUCUCGGGAUUUGUAUUGGUUCGGACAGAGUAUAUAUGAUCGUAAUAAAAACCCUAGCAUAUAUGCAACGGUAUAUUCCUCAACUUCUUUUUUGUGUCUCUCAACUCUGUAGAUGCUCAAAAAGGCAUGUCAUCAUAAAUACCACUGCAAAAAGACGUCCCAAAACGGUAUACAAAAUCACACAUAACUCACAAAAUUGCAUGAUCACAAAAAGUAAAAACCAAAACAAUCAAAAUGUAGAACACGAUGGCUGGAGUUGCUUGCAGUCGGGGAAAAAUUCAAUACUCAACCGGUAUUCCUCAUUCCAGCGGCAAUUCCGUUAAUGGUGAUCAGUAAAGCAUCUCUGAGCUUAACGUUAUCAUCGUCCCUUCUCAGCCUCUUCAGAACUUCCACUUGCAACAUGUUCAUCGGAUUCAGAUACGGCAGCCUCCCUUCGAUAAGCCUUCUCAAGCUCUUGUUAUUGUCCGAGAGCUUCUCGUGGCCGCUCACAACCAGCACGUACUUCUCAGUCGACGAGAGCUCCUUCCUCAGGUCGUCUCCGAUUUUCUGCCUGCUCUCCGAAACAAGCACUUCGUCGUAGUGCUUUGCUAUGGACGUGUCUGCCUUCCCUAUGAUCAUUUCUAUGAGGUCUAUCGUGGACUGGAAGAAAGGCCACUCUUGGUACAUUGAUUUCAGGUCUUCAGUGUGUCCCUUUUGGCAUGCGUAUUCCAGACCGGCUCCAACUCCGAGCCAAGCUGGCAGGACGAACCUGGUCUGUGUCCAUGCAAACACCCAUGGAAUGGCACGGAGGUGGCCGAUCCCAGUCGAGGCCUUCCUUCGUGUGGGACGGCUUCCUAUGUUGAGGAACCCUAGCUCAGCUUGAGGAGUAGCUUCUUGGAAGUAGGUUAUGAAUUCUGGAUUCUCGUAUACGUUGCUCCUGUAGUUCUGGCAACUGACUUUUGAUAUCUCCUCCAUCAGGCUGCGCCAUUUUAGUUCUCGAGGUGGAAGAGGGGGGCGGAGAGUUGCGAGCAGCACUGCAGUUGUGUAGAUCUCUAGCUGUCUGACCGCUGUGUUUGGGAGUCCAAACUUUGCCUGCACCAUUUCUCCUUGCUCAGUUGAUCUCAGAGUCCCCUGCCAAGCAUUGCAAUAUUUGAUAUACAAAGGUGCAAAAGUAGAAAGAAAUUGCAGGUGUUUUUAUAUAUAUAACUGAGUGACUCACCAUUACUGAGCCUGGAGGUUGGGAUUGAAUGGCAAGAUAUGUAGGGCCACCACCACGACCGACACUGCCUCCUCGGCCAUGGAAAAGAGUUACUUUGAUACCGAACUCAUUGCAUGCCGUCACAACAUCCUCCUGGGCUUUGUAAAGCUCCCAAGCAGCAGUGAAGCGGCCUGCAUCUUUACCAGAAUCCGAAUAUCCAACCAUCACCUAGUUUCAGAUCGAAAGUUGUCAGUAGCAGAUAAAGUACAGAAAAAUACUUAACCAAGUCAAGUUUGGAUGUUCUUCUUUCUAAAUGAGUACCUCCUGAUGGCCGUUAUGAUUCUCAAUGAUGUGCUCUCUGUACCAAUCAAUGGACAGCAGUUUCCUGAUCACUGAACCUGCCUCUCUGAGAUCCUUCACAGUUUCAAAUAAUGGAGCAACCCGAAGCCUGACAAAAAUAUGAUUGACAUGCGAACAAUUUUCAAAACAACCAAUGGCUAAAGCCAGAGUCUAAAGUUGUCCAAUAAGGAAUGAUUGCUUAACUAAGGAAGCAGCAAUACAAAAAAGGUUUACUUACGUCCCACCAGGGCAUGGUCUCCCUAACUCUCCACUGACAGUAAGGCGGGCAUCUUUUUGUAGAAGCUCCACUGCUAGGACAUCACUUGCCUGCGAACACACAUGUCAUUGAUUUAACUUUCCUUCCAUAUGAAGCAGUCCAUGAGCAAAUAUCUGAUAAUCAACUACAAACUACAAAUAUUCCUGACAGAUUUUGAACUUGAAUUCAUAGCAGUGGUUUAUACAUUUGAUGCCAUGGAAAUGACAUAUGCUCCGAGGGAAUCACUGCCCAGCUCAGCAGCUACACGGAAGGUAUCCAAGACUUCUUUCACCUCAGGUGGAACCUGCAAACAGAACAGAAUUCGUAGACCUUAAAUAGCAAAAGAAUAGCAGUAAUAGAACAAUUGUAAUGCGUCCAUAAUCUUGACUUCUCAAUAUGGUAUCUUGAUAUGUAUGUUUUUAAAGCAAUCAGGUAAUUAAGCUACUAUCAGAAGCUUUAGAGAACUUCAAUCAUUUGUUCUUUGUCUGUUAAAUGAUAAACAGCUAAUGGGAAUCCCACUGGAUUAUUGAUAGAAAUGUAAGGAAUUACCUCGAUACUAGACGGAAUUAAUGGCCGCUUUCCCUUCAGUUCUCUCGUCAAGAACUCUAACUUUUUGUCCUCAUCCCACUCGCUAUAUAUCCCCAUGUCCAAAUAUUUGGUGAUUGCAUCCAAUGCUUCAGCAUGUCUACCAGAUUCCUGUUAUAUUUGAGGAAUUUCAGUUAAUUUCGACUAGAAUAGAGCAACUUUGACUUUUAAUGUGAAAAAGAAAGCAUACCUGACGUAAAUCUAACUUCAUCAACACCAUGCCAAAGGUGGCAACUCUACGUAUCAAGUCAGCCAGACGACCAUCAGCCAGUAGGCCCGAUCCACAUGAUUGCUGCGAUAUUUAAUUAGUGCAGUUCAAUUUAACUGUAAUUCAUGGAUUUUUACCGCUUAUAUAUCCCAGAUGACUUUGCACAAGCUUGAGUUGCACAUUACCAGAGAAUCAUAGCAUAAAAGCAGAGGUUCCAACAAUUGAUCUGCAGUUUCAAAGUGAUCCCAAGGAUCAUAUUCACAAGGAAUAUCUUCAAGAAGUAGUUCCAAUCUUUUUCUUGUCUUCAUAAGCUGAUUCGCAGGAAAACAAAACAUGGAUAUGCAUCUUAAUUAGUUAAAAGACUUAAGAGGAUAAGUCAGAGCCACCAAGCAAUGCAGAUUAGAUUGUUGAGGACUUGGCUCUAAAUACCUUGUCUUUUACAUUGCUAAGAACAAUCCUGUAAGGAGCGAUCGUAGAUUGUUGAGGACUUGGCUCUAGAAGCUUAUGGAAGCUUGAUCUUCCUAUCAUAGACUCCGCAAAUUUUUUCCGCUGAGCAGCAAGUUGGACAGAUGAAAAAGAGGAAGACCUUUGCAUCCCUGGAGACUGAGAACCAUUUGAAGCUGUGGGCUUUCCAGUCGGUGUACCGCGAUUGCCAGUAGGAGAAGGUAACGGGAUUGAAGAGCCUCUAUGUCCCUGAUAUGAACAGAACAAUGUACCACUACUGCUAUAUAUUCCAGGCAAUAAGAGAGUAAACCAGCAACAUCAUUUGAAGUACUGUGAAGAAAGAUUAAUUACCUGACACUUAGGCAUGUAAUCUGUACCAGGAAGUUCUAGUUUGGGAUAUCUAGGAGCUCCAUCCUUCUCACAGUCUACACAGAGCGAUGGGUCAAAGAAGAAACUAGCUGGCAGGGUAAAAACUGAUGAAUAUUUUAAGAUACUAGCAUCUUAUUAGCAAAACUAGAUAACGCGUAAUUUGUAGUAUAAGUCGCCAACAAAAGUAUCAAUGAAGGCUUUGUUGAACGUGUACACAUAGAACGAAAGCACAAUAGUAGAAGUUUAGCAAUAUGAAAGUGGUAAACGUGUUUACCAGCUCGGGAAGGCAGGUCAGCACUAGCUGGUAGUUGCGUUGGAACAGACCGAGAUGUUUGGCUAUGAAACUUAAACUGAUUUCUGAUCCCUGAACUAUCCUGUCUGUCUUCCGAAGAAUUUUCUGUGGAGGACAAUUACACUUCAGCUUAGCUUAUCAGUAUAAUAGAAACAGGUCACUGCUUCUGAGUGAUAAACCAUGUAUAAUUUACCAAACUUAACCAAAUAUUUUUGUCAAAACAUAUCGUAAAUUGUGCAGUUUCUUAAAUGUGUUACUAGGAUACAUCAGAGAUGCCAGCCUAUAAAAGGAUUAAAGAAUAGUUCCCCUGAAGCUACAAACAAUUGAACUUUCGCAUGGCCUAAAUCCAUUAUUCGAACACUUUAAAUUUUAGCUUAAUUUUCAACAAUUCUAUAUAGAAAAUUUGAUUCCACCGAACUGUUAGUGAUGAUAAUAAACAAAAGUGAAUGACAGGUAAGACUGAUUACACGACAUAUCUAUGCAGUUCAGAUUUGCAUAACAAUCUAGCAACUUCAACCUGCUUUCAUAACGUCAUGUGCCUCUUUCAACAACCUGUCGCUGCAUCGGGUCAUGGAUAGUUCAAAUCUGAGACUAUCAACUUCCCGAAUAUACAGGUCGAUAGCCAUCCAUCUAGACAAUAAGGAGACAUCUCUUGUGACCUGAAACAUUACCAAGAAGUUCUCAAUUUAAUAGAUAUCAUGGUGUUUUCUUCCAAAAAAAAUAGACAUCAUGGUGUAAAUAAGUAGGAUCAGUUCUUUUUCAAUAGUAUUCCUGAAACGAAUAUAAGCAGAUGUAUCAGUUCCAUGAAAAAUGAACAACCACCUAGAAGAUAAUAACAGAUUAAGAAGUCCGGUUAUGUAGGUGACCCACUUGCAAACCAGAUCGAUCACAUAUACUCCUCAUGUCAUUCAUAUCUUUGAAUUCCAUUCAUAACUCAAGAGCCAAACGAUCAAAAUCAAAUGGAGAAUGUUCAUUGUUUACUAGAUUAACCUCUCACCACCAAGCAAGACACUGCUUUCCAAUCAACACGGGUGUUCGAGUGUACCUUAGACGUCACAUUCGGAUUUCCGUCCCUAUCACCUCCCAUCCAAGAACCAAAUUUUAUUGGUGUGGCAGUUAGCGGCAGUGGCAUUCCAGUAUGCUAAAGAAGAAAUAUAUACAUAAGAAAAUGAACAAAAAGUUCCAAACUCUUUUGCGUUUUUCGAAAACAAAAGUAACAAACUCUAAUUAAUAUGAAACAUAUCAAGUUCCAAGAAGCUUCUUAAAAUUCAUUUCAAGAAUCUACAAAUAAUAAGGGCAGGAGCGAGAGGGUGAAGAAGGAGGAAUAACAAUAAACCUUUUUCAGGGCAUUGCUGACACGGCGUAGAUAGUGAGGUACAGCUUUCCAUAGGGAUUGUUCAACAAUAUUCAAUCCUGAAUUGAUGAAAUAUUUGUGUUUUAAGUUCAUAAAUAAAUUGUUCACUUGAAUCAAGAAAUGCAUGUUUUUCCUAUGUAUGGUAUUGGUUGAUUAUCAGCCUUGACGGUCCAUUCAGUUCUUCAAAUGUCAAUGUUCUGUUUAUUCGAGCGUAUGUACAGAUAGUUGGAAAGAAUCGGAGAAUGCAUGUUAUUUCAUGAACAAGGUUUUAUUGAUUUACCAGCCCUAGCCUCAUCCACUGGUGUUGGCUUAUGACGCCUGAGCUCAUCUGUCUGCCAUAUUGAGGUGAUCUCUCUAACCUGUGAAAGGAAGAAUGAUGAAAAUCCAAUGAAAAUCAAGACAUAAAUAAUAACUAUAAGAUUAACUGUUUUCCCUCAAAAGGGAACCUGGAUCACACAAAAAAGCAGGGGAAAGCAUUAUGCUUCAAGAACCAUACCAGAUCUUCUAUCAGCAUUUCUCGAUCUUCAUGAGUAAGGUCAGUCCUAUCAUUGUAGUCCAAAAGAUGCUGCAUACGAGCAUUCAAAUGGAGUUACUAACACACAAACAGGUAAAAAAGUUGGAUGAGUAAUUUAGUUCAGAGGCAUAAUAUAACUCACAGAAAUUCUGAUGUGCUUAUACUGCAAGGUCCGACGAUUGAUUUGGGUAGGAUGUGCAGUUAGAACAAUUUCUACCUCCUGCAACAACGAAGACGCGAUAAGCUAAGAACACUUUACAAGUCUGUAAUAGUUCUUUCCAAGGGACUUCAUUUUCCUGUUAUGGUGCUUUUUCAUGAUUUUUCUCCUAUAUUCUUUUUGAAACCCUUCUAGAUGAUGUUUAUGAUACUUUGUGUAACUUCUUUAGAAUGCACCUGGAUGACUUACAUACCGGAAUUUUUACCUGAACUCCUUUUAAAAAGUUUUAACCAACAAUACCUGCUUACAGACAGUAUGAUACAGUUGAUCUGGAGGAACUCCACUCUGCAAGAGCUGAGUAAAGACAUCAUCACAAGAUCUAGAUAAAUGAGCAGCACUUCUUAACCUGCGGACCCUGUAGUCAACAAUAUAAUCAAAAGUAAUGAGUUCUGAGAGUCAAUUGAUUGUAAACAGAGUAAGCAUUUGUUUUUGUAACACCAUGUUUUCCAAUUGAAGCUAUGGUCUAGGAUCAUCUUAUCAUAACUGGCUAGCUUGACACAUUGAAAUUACUCAACGCUGAGUAGAAACCUAUAGCUUUAUUCUGCAGAACAAAGCCACGUUUAACUGCCAAUCCAAUGUAAUAUAUUUUCAACGGAUCAGCCUUUGAAAUGCAAGUCCACCGAUAAAAUAUCUGACCAAGGCACAUGAACUUCUUGACGCUAAUUACUGAAGUAUAUUAGAUAGAAGUAUGAUCAGAAAAGGCUCUUUACCUGUGGUGGGUCUCAGCAAUUCCCAUCAAGUUAAGGAAAUGGCUAAUCGCACGAGCCAGAGUUAAGGCCUCCUCUAAUGUCAAUUGUUUCAUCUCGGCAGCCAAUUGUUUCUCCAGCAUGUCUGCUGCGUCCUCUAUCUCCGCCAACCUCAUAUUGCAGGCACUCUGUAACCAGACAGUGCACCAUGUAUACAGCUCAAUGUGUUAGAUAUGAUCCAUACUUGUUAAGAACCAUCCUUAUUCGCUAGGAGACGCGAAAGGAAAAGAUAAACGCAUAUGUCAACACACUAGCAAACAAUUGAUUCUACCGUACAGAAAACACUGAUACCUAAUUGGAACAAACAUCGUAAAUAAUGUUCACAUUUUUUUUGCGUCCUGAAUUAAGGGGACAAAAUACAUUGGUAUCCUCCAAAUCCAGUUCUGAGAAAGUGAUGCUCAAGUGUAUUUGGCUUUGUUUCUAUUGGUAUAAUCAAAUCGAAGCAUCCAAGGGAUUCAAGCAUGCAAAUCUUAAUCAAAACACAUAGAUGAUUUAGGUAUCCAUUUUAUAGAAAUUUCGAGAUCGCAUAACUUCAUCAUCGUGAUUUCAAAGUUCUUUCAAAUCUCUCAGCAAACAGAAUGGCAUGCCAUGCAAAACUUUGUUUCUAGAUACUAUCUUUUAUAGAAACUUGAAAACUAAACAACAUCGGAAGAACUCUCGAUGAACACAAUAUAUGAAAGGGAAACUAGUUAGAUAUUCAGAAUCCCAGCCACGAGUGACUGAACUAUGAAACUCAAUAAAUGGAAGGGGGGAAAUGAUCGAGGAGAUAAUGAGGCGAUAGAAGAGGCAAAAACCUGAGCGACGAUACGAAUUUUUUCAAGUUUCUUCAUGAGCUUGCUAUCAACUUCCCUCUGCAAUACAUCGUUGAGAAGAUUUCCGAGCAGCUUGCAAUCAUCGUCGAAGCUCUGGAACGACAUUUCUUCGGCGAUAUCAUCAGUGGUGUCCGUCAUGGUUACGGGACGAAACAAGCAAGGCACAAAUGAAAAAGGAGCCUGCGUUUACAGUAAACGAGAGAGACAAAGAGAAGAAAGAGAAGAGAGAUAGAAGAUGGAGCGGAGAGGUAGUGAGUGAAGCUGGCGAAACGAGAUUGUGAAUGGUGGAAGAAGAAGAAGAAGAAGGAUGUUUGUGUUUGGGGAAACAGUUAGUAUGGGGCCCGCCCAGGAGGCAGGAGACCUGCCUUUUACCGUCGAGAGUUGCGAGAGGUCCCGCGACACUUGGCAGUCAAGGCGAUAAUUUAAAUCGGAAUGGUUAAAUUUAGGCCUUGGGAGUCUCGUGGCCACGUAAUGAUGCCCGUAUUCUGCUAUUUCAGGUAAAAAGUUUAACUGCAACCCUCUAAAUAUAGUUUUAAUAUUUUAGUGGUCUUGAAAACUAUAACUGCUCUAAUUUAAAACGUGUUAUAUGUUUUUAGUUUCAUAAUUUUCUGUCUUGAUUUUUUUAAAUGUCACUUAUAAACACUUUUGAUAAUAUUUUUAAGUAAAAUAAUUUUAUAUUGUUUCAUGAUAAAUCGAUAUAAACAUUUUAAUAAAUUUUCGUAAAAUUCAAGUUCAAAAUUUUUUUAAUUUUUUUUAAUUUUUUAUAUUCUUCAAGUAUGGUUUACAAGAUUAUUAUUAAAUUAAAACAAUUUCAAUUUCCAUAUCUAUCAUCAAAACACAAUCAGAGUAACAACACCCAAAAGUAAAAAUUGAUGACUAAACAGCAACACUUCAAAACAUUUAAAUGUGAAUAAGUAAAUAAAAAAAUAACAUCUCGCCCAUCUUCCUCUCUCAAAUCUUUUUACCAUUUGAUCCCAUUUUUAGCAUUUCACAUUGAAAAGAUGUUAUAAAUCCUUCAUUUUAGCAUUUUAGCAUCCAACUAUUACAAAUUUAGUACGUAAGCUUUUAUUUUAUAAGGUUGGUUGGAGGUGUUUGAAAAUUUGUAUUUUACAAAUAUACAAGUUUAGCCAGAGGGUUGUCGAGAUCCUUAGGAUUCUAAACAUAUAUAAAUUUGAGGUGAAUAUUUUGGUAUUCAUGUCCAUCUAUAUUGUAUAUUGUUUUUUUUUUGUUUUUUUAUGGAUGAUAAACGUUUUAUGAUGGAUAAUACAUGACCCGUCAGCUCCAGAUCCGAUGGAUAACACUUAAUAAAACCCGGAUUUAAUAUGAGCUCGACGAAGUCAUGAUCCAAUGAACAUGUGACCCAAUGAUUUUUAACGUGACAAAUCACACCCACAACCUGCCUAAUAGCAAUUGUGACCCAUAGUGUUCCCAUUUGAUAGGUUUAAGUAGCCCAAAAUAAGGUUUACUAAGUCGGUAGAAUAAGCGACCUCGGAUAGCUAACUUCAUAAUAUAAUAGUUUUUAGUUGAGAAAAACAAUUUCAAAAAGAAUUAGUUGUCACUCCUAUAUAAGUCGGAACUUUAUGCAUAUUUAUUGAGAGAUGAUAGACAACCCGUGUUAAGCUUAUCCCAAUACUCGAUAAUUCUACAACCUGAUAAACCAGGACCAGAAGAACUCGGAGGUUGAUGCAUUCGUGAUCUAAUGAACCCACGACCCAAUAAUCUGUAACCUGACAAACCCUUAACUCGUCACUUAUUUGAAAUAUAAGUAACCCGGCCAUUGAGUCUAGUCUAAUAAAUCACAUGAAUUUAUUAAAAUAUUAAUAAUUCCUAACUAUAAAAACAUAUAUGACGUCAAUAACGUAUAAGUUGAAAAUACAUAACACUCACCCGUUUAUCACAAUUCAUAUGAAAUAUUUAAAAUUAUUUUUUGAAAUCAAGAAAUACUUAUGUUUGAUAUUUAUUUUCACAUAAACUAAUUAUUAUCUAAAAUAAUUAUAUUAUAUAUCAUGUCAUAUUAUGAAGACAUUUAAUAGGAUGAGAGAGGAUAUUUAAAUUUUAAUUUAAAAAAUAAUUGAUGAUGUGGAAAUUUGAGAGAAAAGUAGAAAUUUAUGUGACAAACUCAAUUUCAUGAAUUUCUUUAAUAUAUGUUAAGAUAGUUAUAAUCCUUUUUACGACAAAUCAUCUUCAUCAUUUUUUAUGAAUAUCUUUGUCAAUUUUCGUUUGGUUUGGAGUUAUUUUGCAAAUGUGUUAUUUCACAAACAUGAUCAUUGCCUCGAUUAAUAAUUUGAGAAUGUGGAGUUGCUUCAGUGGUAUAGCAAUAUGUCUAGAAAUCUUGAGGUCAUGAAUUCAAACUUAAUACAUGUUUGUGAGUUUGUUAUGUUUUACUUUGAAAUUAUGUUUUAUAUUUUAAAAUCUUCUAAAUUUGGAUUAUGUGGUAGUCUUAUAAUUCAAAUUACAAUUAGUAAGUUAUGCGGCCAUGUGGGGAUGAGUAUGAAUAUUGAUAUUCGAAUGGGGAUGGAGACACAUAUGGUGAUGAAUUUUAUGAAUGGGUGUGGAGAUGGGUAUAAAUACCCCGUCUGAAACCUGCCACAUUGCCAAGUUUAAUUGUGAAAAAAAAUAAUAAAUCAAAAAUUAGUUUGGGGUUAAAGAAACCUACCAAUUCAAUACCACCCAUCCCCAAGUAUUAUAAAUACCACCAAAGAGAGUUUUUUCAAAUAGCUAAUGGCAAAAUAUCAUAUAUUUUGUUUUUUAUGUCAAACGAGGUAUUUUGACCCAAAUAACUCAUUUAAAUAAGGUAUGAUAAGUUAUUUGAGUCAAAAUAUCAUACCCAAAUACUUCAUCAAAAUGAUUUUUGUGUUUGCCACACAACGGAUACUCGUCAACACAAUAACAAGCCAAACUGGAGGUAUAGUCUCUAGAUGCAAAUGUACAUUAACUAAAAAUUAUCCCACCAAAAUAUAAUCAACCAUGUUCUUUUAUCUCGUUAUAAAACAAAAGUGACAACUAUAAUACGAAAAAUUAAAACCGACAUAUCGAUACGCACAAGCGGAAUAAAAUUGACAAAGGGGAUUUUACACAUUACAGUACAUACGAAUUGAAAUCGAAACAAUGAAGAAUUGGUGUAUUAGACUGCAUUAACGACGAAAAAUUAGGAAGCCUCACCAUAGCCCUCGAAUUAAUCGAUGACUAAAAGAAAAAAUGGUUUGAUUAGGAGAGGGCAAAACGAGGUGGUGAUUGGCUGAUGUAGAUGUAGGACUUGACUUCACGGCGGAGUAGUGGCUGAAUUGAAAGAAGUCAACCAUGUUGGAGUCUUAUCCCUAUUGUAUUAGUUUAAGCACGGAACAAUCGUCGUAUUACAUUCAUGAGCAUCGUGAAGAUGAUGAUAUAUACGAUGGGAGGAGGGGGUGAAGAGAGCUUAGUGCACGGAGCCCACUCCUCACGUCUUAUUGCGGAACUGAAAGUUGAAAUGACAAAAACGCCACUGAAAUAGUAAAAUACCAAUUUCUUUAUAAGAUGCAAAAAACCGAUAAAUUUUUAUACUACUUGAAACGACCAAUCAAAAUUGCCUACUUAUUCCGCCGUCACCAUCGUUCUGCCGCGCCGUUCCGCUGCUGCCGUCCCGCCGCAACCGUUCCGCCGCUGUCGUCCCGCCGCAACUGUUCCGGUCAAGUGCUGAAUGUUAGAGCGAGCCAAAUGUUUUUUAGGAAAUGGAGCGAUCUGGUAGAAGGAGGCUAGAGUCCAGAUUUAGUACAGUAUCCGGCAUCAGAGUGGCUCCCUUGCAAGCAUAAGUGAGUGUGUUGCUACACGAAUAAGAUGUUCUAUUUCGGAAACACAAGCAGAAACAAGGUGAUCCAGACUACCAAGGGGCUGCCUUAUAAAUCCGAAGUUCGGCGAUGUGUGGAAGAGGAACGGUUCGUGUACAUGAGACACCUACAUCGCUUUUGGGCUACGUUGGACUACACGAACCCUCCCGACCGUUCUAAGUGAGAAGAUGACGCCCGUGCUGAGCGCAAUGUUUCGUGAGAAACUGUUGAGGAGGUCGAGGGUUUAGGAGAAGCACACGUUCGCGCUGCCACGAGAUUGCUCCGGUCUCAUCUACAUACAGAGGCUGAGGUUCUUCAAGACCCGAAGACAUUUGAUACUCCAAAAGGCAUACCUCCCAGACAAUCCCGGACACGAGGAUGUCGUCGAUGUUUCAUAUUAGGUUGGGAUGAUAAAACUGUUUGUAUAAACGCUUUCUACAUAUGUAGGGAAUUUAUAUUUCUGUAUACUUUUGGGAAAUACUAUGGAAUGGAUUCAAAUAUGAAUGGAACACUUAUAUGACUAAUGAAAACACGGAAUGUCCUCUAAUAAAUAACUCACAUACAGUGCCAAUAAACUCAAAGUACUAAUAAUGUCAAUUAAACAAAAAACAAUCCUGGUAAAAAUUACCCAACUGAAAAGACAAAAAACAUAUAGAACGCCCAGCUCUGCCACGUCGAGGGCCCACGAUAGAAGAACCUUGUGAUCAAUGAGACGACCUGCUGCCCGCUCCUGAUCCCGAUGGAGCGCCUGUACCCCUCCAUGUUGGUCUCUUCCGCGAGCGAGCACUGUCAAGUAAGAGGGGUGAAAUGAAGUAUCACAAUCGCCAUCCUCAUCCUCGUUGCCGUCCGCCGGGAUCUGCUCAUCGUCGCCGUCUGAGUCGUCUUAGAUGGUAUGAAUGUCAUCGCCCAAAUUCGAGUGUUGGCUAGCAAAAAUCUCAUCAACCGUCAGCUCUCUCCCAGCUGAGUGCAGAUCGGGGUCUCCAUAUAUCGGUCCGGGAAUCUGAAACUGCGCACUCGACCGUCGUCCCCAUUCAACGACUGCGAAUUUCUUUUUUGUUUUUGCUUUAUUUAAAUUUUUUAACCUUUAGCGGAGCGGCGACGGCUAACAUCCCCUAGCCUAGACUUCUUCCCCUUCUCUUAUUCCUCGUUCAAUUUUCGGUUUGAGGCAGAAAUAAGACGAUUGAUAAACCGCGGCAAACGAUGAUCUCCCCUCGACAUCGCUUCCAACUAUAUAUGCAAUUUAAAUCGUAACUAUUAAUUAAGGGGAGAAGGAGACUGUUUUCAGAGAGUUGAGAGUUUCAAGUUAGGUAGUGUAUUGGAUUCGAGAGACAUUAUGUAUGUAUUUAAAUACUACGUUCAAAGGAUAUUCGCGUAGUUUUAGUCACUAAAUUCAAAUGUUGAAAUUAGACUGACUAUUUAUUAAUUUGAAAUCUUUGAUAUUGAUAAAAAAACUAAAUUCAAAUGUUAGGGCGUUGGAUAGUAAAAGGUAGGGCGUCUUAUAGCAAUUUCCAUUAAUUUAAAUGUUGCCAUUUUAGUUACUUCUUUCCGCUUUUUUUCAAUGUUAAAUUUGUAUAUACUAAUUAACCUUAAUUAGCAUGAUUAAUUAUUAAUUUUAAUGUAUUAAUUAAAUAGAUAUUCAAUUAUCAAUUAUUUAAUUAUCAAAAUAAUUGUUACAAUACUUACUAAUUUUUACUAAUUGAUCUUAAUUAGCAUGACUAAUUAUUAAUUUCUAAGUAUUAAUCAAAUACUUUACUAAACUAAAUCAUACUAAUUACUAAUUCACUCAACUAAAUCACACUAAUUAUAUUUUAAUAAUAAUAACAUACUAAUUAAAAGAAUUUAAAAAUAUAUAUAAAGGUUGNNNNNNNNNNNNNNNNNNNNNNNNNNNNNNNNNNNNNNNNNNNNNNNNNNNNNNNNNNNNNNNNNNNNNNNNNNNNNNNNNNNNNNNNNNNNNNNNNNNNNNNNNNNNNNNNNNNNNNNNNNNNNNNNNNNNNNNNNNNNNNNNNNNNNNNNNNNNNNNNNNNNNNNNNNNNNNNNNNNNNNNNNNNNNNNNNNNNNNNNNNNNNNNNNNNNNNNNNNNNNNNNNNNNNNNNNNNNNNNNNNNNNNNNNNNNNNNNNNNNNNNNNNNNNNNNNNNNNNNNNNNNNNNNNNNNNNNNNNNNNNNNNNNNNNNNNNNNNNNNNNNNNNNNNNNNUGUUGCCAUUUUAGUUACUUCUUUCCGCUUUUUGAAAUUUUAAAUCUACUAUAAAACAGUCUUAAAAUAAUUACAAAAUUCUUCUAUUCAACCAACAUUUCACAUUCUAUCACUCAUCUCUCAUUCUCUACACUCUUCAUACAAAAAUUAGUAUAAUUUCUUUCAACUCCAUCAUGAGUAAUAAAGGUGUCGAUAGGCCCGUAGACUUAAAACAUAGCCCUUGCAUGGUUUGGUGCAAAAUUUUGUGUGAUAGAGACGUGAUGAAUGGUUAAGAAUUCCUUACGUUUUGGAAUAUAAUCAAAGGGUCAUUCAAAACUAUGGUGCAAGGUACUGAUACAUUCAUGUUCCAAUAUUUUGUUGUUCAAUAAAGGAAUAAGAUAAUGUUAAUGAUGAUGUUCAAAAUGAUAGUGUGCAUAAAGUGCGUCUCAUAUUUGAGAACACAUAUCAUCAGACCCGCUCAUUAUCCUGUGCUGGUCGGUCCACCAACAUAAAACCUCAUAUGUUUUGGAGUCUUACUUCUAGAUAUAAUAUUAUAUGUGUUGUUCAAUAAAAGCCUGUGUUAUCACCACAGAACAAACGGAUAGAACAUUUGCUUGUGAUGUAUUUUGAAUCCGUGGUUAAGAGCCGGAUUUGCUUGGGUAAAAAGACGAGACGGAUUUACCUUUUCAUCUCCCACGUGGCAGCUUAAAACGUUAGGCUUCCGAUAGAUCUUCUUUCUCCCUCCUUCCCUCCCUCCGUCUCUUAAGAAACAAUUCAUUCAACGCAGAAACAGAUAACCGAAACCCUAAGUCCAGUUCAAAGGGUUUCUCAGAAUCUCUCCGGCUACCGGAGAUAACGUGCUCUGCAAUUGUUUUCUUACCGACUACAGCUGUAGUCUCGGGAUUUCGAUUUUGAGAUAUUAUUCUUAUCCAUGACGACGGAGAAUAGUGCGACAUCCAGAUCGAAUUCAGCGGCGGAUUCGUACAUAGGAAGCUUGAUAAGCUUGACUUCCAAGAGUGAGAUCAGAUAUGAAGGCGUUCUUUACAACAUCAAUACUGACGAGUCCAGUAUUGGAUUGAAAAACGGUAACCACUUCGUAGCUGGAAAUUCUUGGGGAGGGGGUUUAUUUAAUCGAUUUUGCUUGUAUUGAGCUGAUUUGAAUGUAUUUGCUAUACGUUUCUGUACUAGUGCGUUUAAGGUUUUGCUGUUGGAGCUUAAGUUGAAGUCCUAGAUAAAUUGAAUCUAAAAUGAGAAUUCCUUUCUGUUUGACAGCUCCUAAAUUCCUAACUUUACUAGUGAUUUUUUUGGUAGAAAAUUUUGCCGACUAUGCUUCGGUGUUGAACUCUUUAAGGAUUUUGAAACUCUUGAUUAUUGCAUAUUCAAUCUGAUUCUCGUGCUUUGACGCUAUAAUUCUCGACAUGGAGUCUUGGAGCGUUUGUUUUGUUUAUCUCAAAUUUCGUAUUUGAUUGAUAAAUUUGCUAUGUCUACCAAGUUCGACUACUUUUCAUGCAUAAUCUGUAUAUGCUCUGCUUAUUUGCCGUUUGCACCAUGUAGUUCGGUCCUUCGGAACUGAAGGACGGAAAAAGGAUGGCCCGCAAAUCCCUCCCAGUGACAAAGUGUAUGAGUACAUAUUGUUCCGAGGAACUGACAUUAAGGUACCACAUAGAGAUACUUGCCUAGAUAUUGUGCUAUCUUCAGUAUCCGCUUAAUUUGCUUUGCAACCGCGCCUUAAACACAUCAAACAUAUGCUUAGUGGUUUCUUUUUUCUUGCUAUUUUUGUGCAUUUCUCUCCAUGUAUCUGUAAAUUGUAAUAGCCUGCAUUGUCUCAUUUCACACAUACAACUACGAGGUUUGUUCAAGUCGAGGUCUGAUGAUGUGAAGCACCCCACAUUUGAAAACCAGUGCUUUUAGAGUCAGAUGACUGUCAAUACUUGAUUACAAGACAAAAAAAUUUUAUCAUCGAAUUUUUGCCUCAUUGAUAACUUGUUUCUGCGCAAAUAGGAUGAAAGAAUAUCAGUAGAAAUACUGACCUUCAUCCUGAGCGAAAUGAUUGAUUGAUAAUUCCCGAGAAGUCCGAGAAUUUCUUGCCGAGUUUGUGAACAUUGUAAAGUGUCUAUUAAUUCUGACAUCCGUACUGAUUUUUUCAUGAGUAAAAAUUCAAUUAAUAUGGUUUUUUUUCCUCACGAUGUUCGUGUUUGUCGUGCUGCUUGCUUUUAGUGUAUCUGAUAAUCACAGAUUUUUGCAUCCAAGGUAGCUUCAACCUACUGCACACUUUCUAAUAGAUCAAAAUUCCUUUAUUAGCAACUUUACGUAUUUGGUUGUUAUACUAUUUUAUUACUCCUUCAUGGUUCCUAUAUGCAUAUGACGAAACAAUCUCACUCAAAUGCAUAUAUACACUCGCCAACAAAUGCUAUAAUUUAUUCUUUCUCUAUUACAGGACUUGCAGGUUAAAUCAUCACCCCCAGCUCUUCAGCCCGCGCCGCCUCUAAACAAUGAUCCAGCUAUUAUACAGGUAAGUUAAAGGCAAUGAAUUCACAUGUAGCACACUUCUUUGCAUCCGGAGAUAGCCUGCUAUUGUUGCUCAGUCACCGGCAAUUUUCAUGCAGUCUCACUAUCCUCGACCAGUUUCAACUUCUUCGGGCAUGCCUUCUGCUGUUUCUGGAUCCUUGCCUGAUGCCGGGUCCCAAAAUGCACAAAUGGGAAUGUCUGCACCAAAUUAUCAAAGUGGUUUGCCAUUGUAUCAACCUGCAGGAGCCUUAGGAACAUGGGGGCCUUCACCUCCUCCAAAUGCAAAUGGAACUGGGCUUGCUAUGCCGAUGUACUGGCAAGGGUAUUAUGGUCCUCCUAACGGGCUUCCGCAAAUGCACCAGCAAUCUUUGCUUCGUCCACCACAAGGGUUGACAAUGCAUUCUCCUAUGCAGCAGCAAAUGCAAUAUCCGAACUUUAAUGCCCCGUUACCUAUCGGAGCUUCAAACUUUCCGGUAUCAAAUAUGCCCACUCAAAGCCUGCCACCAUCAAAUAUGCCCACUCAAAGCUUGCCAUCAUCAAAUAUGCCCACUCAAAACUUGCCACCAUCAAAUCUUCCAGUGUCAAACUUUCCACCAUCAAAUCGGCCAGCGUCAAACUUUCCACCAUCAAAUCUGCCAGCGUCAAACUUGCCACCAGCUUCAAACUUGCUAACGUCCAUGUCUGAUGUUUCACCUCUACUCCCUACCAGCAUUUCUGUAAACUCAAUGUCGCUGUCCUCAACUCUGCUUCCAACCCUUACAUCAGUGCCCUCUUCUACCGAACCUUCUUCUGAUGCAUUGCCUGGUUUAGUACCUGCCCGGGCUACCAACUUAGUUCUUCCAGCAUCCAACUUAAGUCCCAACUUUCCCUCCCUAAUACAACUACCAACUUCAAUGUCUGAAUUGAAUCCCAUUUCUGGAAAGCCUAACCAAGUUGCUGCUCAAGUGAUUCCUAGCACCGGGCAGCCCGAAUCAUCAGCCUCUGGUCCUUCAGUUCCUUAUCAUAACACUGUAAAGCCAGUUUCACCAGCUGCUGCAUCACGCACCGAAGCACCAACACCUUCACUGGUAACCCCUGGCCAGCUACUGCAAUCUGUACCUGCAGCAGUUAUUAGGUCAUCCGAGCCCGAGCAAGCAGCUCAUAUGGACGUGAAAGUUAUUCAAGCGUCUGCAACAUCUUCAUCAGAACCAGUUCUUCCCAUUGCUACAGAAGCUCAGCCACCAAUUCUCCCGCUGCCUGUACCCUCUCGUACUAGCCAUAAGGUGUAUAUUUUUUGUGCCUACAAUGGAUCAAUACGUUUAAUAGUUGAAUUAAAUUUAGUUCUUCCCAUGAGUUGUAGUCCAUAUCUUUUGCGUUAUAACUUGUUACCUUCUCUUCAUGUCUUGCGGUAAGGUAGUUGUUUGCCAAUAUAAUAGUCUAUAUUUGCAUUCAUUAAUUUAUUUUAGUCUGCAAUUGCAUGAUUUCCUGUUUCAUCAUCUAUGUUCUUAGUUUGCAUAGUUUGCUCUUCUUCAUAGCUUCUGUCAUGUAGGAUGGUAGGUGCAUUCGACUAUUUUCGGUCAGUUUCAGUCUGACCAAGUUUCAUAUAAAAUCAUAUGAUUUUCACUUGGAAGGAACAAGGACUAGUUCAUAGUGCUCUGGUUAGGAUUGCGUCUAGUAAAAAUAGGGUUGUAUGGUGCAUGUGAUUAAGCUUGCAGCUUUAGCUUCUCUUGUCCUCUAUGUAUGCCUAUAAGGACUUACAGAUCCUUUUCUUUUUUGACUCAUUUUUUGACAGCCAAACGGAGCUCCAUAUCACUCUCGCCAUAAUCAUGGCUACCGUGGACGGGAUAGGGGAAGGGGAGUUGGGGUAAUUUCUCACCCCCACUUGCAGUUGUUUGUACUUAUGCUGCCUUCAUGAUUUUUGAUUAUUCUAAGUGGUGUUCAAAAUUCUUUUAUCCAUCCAAAACUUAGGAAUUGCUUCCUCAUUACUUUUCUUAAUUUAUUAUGAAGUCAGCAUGCAAAAAAAAUUUCCUGAGGUUUUCAAAACAGUUUAUAGCUCACUGUGAUACUUCCUUCAUGGAACUAGACAUGUUAAAAUGUUCAGUUUCACUAUCUCUCAGAUGCUUCCUGUUUUGGAUCUCAUUUUUUGAGUAAUUCUCUAUUUCUCACGCUGGAAUUUAUCUUUCCCCAACUUUCCAUUUGAUUACUGUAACUGAAAUCUCAUGUGUAGGGUUCACGUCCGCUGACUAAAUUUACGGAGGAUUUUGAUUUUAAUGCAAUGAAUGAGAAAUUUAAUAAGGAUGAAGUAUGGGGUCACCUUGGUAAGAACAAGACGAAAGACAAAGACGAUGUCAAAGCCAGUGAUGAAGAUGAUUUUGAAGAGGAAGAUGAGGUCGGCAAGGUCAGUGUUAAUGUGACACUUUGGUUUGAUUACAUAUGAUAACGCUGUGUAUGAAACGGUUGUGAAUGGUUUAGCCCUGCCAAAUCUUCUGGUGAUACUCCGCGAAAGAUUGUUUAGGGUGUCUUUUUUACCCCGCUAAAUUUUUAUUUUGACCUUGCAGCCGGUUUACAACAAGGACGAUUUUUUUGAUACCCUUUCUAGCCAUACAAUGGCCAAGGGGACGAUCUCGCGGUUCGUACAAUGGAAGGGGAUAUAAUGGGUAUGGUUACAAUGGUUUGAGGGGUCGUGGGAGGGGGAUGCCGAACCGCGAAUCCUAAACUAUAGUACUUAGAAAUCUAGCUAUGGGUGAAAGCUCCCAACUUUUAACUUGGUGAAGCAGCAAGCGGGACGGUUUAAGGAUAUGCUAUGUCUGUGGGGGUGUUUUUAUGUAGUUUGGCGAAGGAGAAAUAAGGACAGGAGAUGAUAUGUGUGGGCUUUUUGUUUUAGGAUAUCUUGGUCUCUUUUCCCCGUCUGAUUCCUUGUCGCCUUUCCCCUCCUCCUUCCUGGGUAAUGGCGUUCAUUGUUGUGGCCAACCAGUCGAGGCAGUGGGUUUGCGUCAGCUGAAUUAUAUUUCUUGUUUUUUUUUUGGUUAUGUAAAACAUGAGCCUGCCGCCUAAGUAGAACUUAACAAUGGAGAGAGAAGCUGACGAACAAGGGAAUUGACCCUCUUUUCUAGAGGGGUGUAUUGCUUCUGCACAUAGCCAUUGUUAUGGUUGGAUGUAUCUUUCUGUUUUUCUAGAAUGGUCUUAUGGGGACUUGUGUAGUUGAAUGUUAAUCAAUGCAUCUUUGAACUAUAUUUGAAGACAUGUUUUAGUAUGUGCCUUGUGUGUGGCGUUUAUGUGCUCGUAUCACUUUUAUCGGCUGGCUUACACGUCACGCUGAUUGAAGCGUUGGUUGUAUAACUGGUCUAACCCAGGGCUUAAUAGUUGCCGAAUAAGGCAGAGUUGACAGAUAGCAUUACUGUUACUCAAUCGAAUCGUAUCUGAGAUUUCCACCUCAUAUCGCUUCUCGUUUAAUUCUUACUGAAUCGUACAUGAGAUUUUCACUUCAUACGAUUUCUCGUUUCAUUCUUAUUGAAUCGUACAUGAGAUUUUCACUCCACACGAUUUCUCGUUCAAUUCUUUUUAAGUCAUCAAUUAUUUUCCUUGUUUGAGACACUACUUUGUUCAAAAGAAUAACAAAAGGACAAAUUCAGUCACGUUUUCACUUUUCAAUUAAAGACUUUCCUUGUUUUUAAUUCUUAAAAGGAAAAAAGUUAUUUUUACCAAACGUGUGCGGAUUCAGUCAUGAUCUUAUAUCCAGUUAUCCCUUGAGUAACUAUUAUUCUUUGCUAAGCGUGCUUGCUAUAAUUUUCUGGGACAAGAUGAAAUUCUUAUUCAAAUUAUAUCAUUGUGAGUUGGGAGGAUUUGGGUCGGGAAAGGAUCCCAGACAAAUGUUUUGUAGUAGAAUUAGGCCUAAAAUAAGACUUGUUAGACAGUGCAAAAUAGAAAAGGAAGUAAGCAUUACGUUAGUAUCCGUUUGUAAUGUGUACUUCUUAGACAAAUGUAUCCUGAGCCCACGCACAAGGAUAUAUUAUUACAGAUCGGCCUUCCCUCCCUCCCUCCCUCUCCGUUUCAUUACAGAAGAAACAAAUCAUUCUAAGCAAGAAAAAAGUUAAUUGGAACCCUAAAUCCAGUUUGAAGGGUUUCUCAUCAUCCCUCCGGCGACCGGAGACAACGUGCUCUGCGAUUGUGUUCUUAUCAACUACAAUUGUGGUUUCCAGAUUUCGUUUUUGAGAUAUAUAUCUCAUCCUUCAUGAUGGAGAAUAGUGCCAAUUCGACUUCGACAUCCAGAUCGAAUUCAGCGGCGGAUUCAUACAUAGGAAGCUUGAUAAGCUUGACUUCCAAGAGUGAGAUCAGAUAUGAAGGCGUUCUUUACAACAUCAACACUGAUGAGUCUAGUAUCGGAUUGAGAAAUGGUAACCACUUCGUAGCUGCAAAUUCUUGGGGUUUUAUUUAUUUAUUCGCUUCGAUUUUGAUUGUAUUGAGCUGAUUUGACUAUAUUGGCUAUAUUUUUUUUUUUUUAGUGCUUGUCAGGUUUCUGUUGGGAGCUUAAGUUGAACUUAGGUCAAUUCAAUCUAAGUGCAUAAUCCUUUCUGUUUGACGGCUCUUCAAUUCCUGACUUUACAAGUUGAUGACAUUUGCUAGAAAAUUUUGCAUUGUUGACUAUGCUACGGUGUCUUGAAGGAUUUUGAAAUCAUGGAUUAUUUCACAUUCUAUCUGAUUUUCGUGCUUUGCUUUCCAUGCGUAGUCUGUAUGUGCUCUACUUAUCUGCCGUUUUCUCCUUGCAGUUCGGUCCUUCGGAACUGAAGGACGGAAAAAGGAUGGUCCGCAGAUCCCUCCCAGUGACAAAGUGUAUGAGUACAUACUGUUCCGAGGAACUGACAUCAAGGUACCACAUAGAGAUGCCCGUAUUCUGUACUCUCUGCAGGAGUCACUUAGUUUGCCUUACGAUCCCCACUUAAAUACGAAAUAAUAUACACGAUGGAUUGUUUUAUCUAGCUAUUUUUCUGCACUUCUUUUUAGAUAGUUGUGAUGGUGAGCACCGUCUCAUUUCACAUUUCUUUCAACCACUGAGGUUUGUUCGGGUCAAGCCUGAUAAAGGGAAGUACAUCACAUUUGAAAACUAGUGUUUUUAGACUGUCAGAUGACUGUCAAUAGUUGGUUACACGAUAAAAGUUCUUUAUCAGUUCAUUAUCGAUAGCCAGUUUCUGUGCAAAUAGGAUGGAAGAAUCUUUGUAGAACUACUGACCUCCCCCCCUAAGGAAUUGAAAUCAUUGAUUGACAAUACCUUGUUGCUUGUGCACGUGAAUUGUUAGUGACGGCUUUGUCGACAUGUUAAAUUAUCUUUUAACUCUGACAUCGUUACUCAUUUUUAUGGUUACCCGAUCAAUUAUCUAGGAAUUUUAGUCUCAUAAUGUUUUGUUUGUCAUGCUGGUUGCUUUUACCCUCAUUAUCUUGUAAUUCUGAAAUCGUUUUAGCCUCAUGUUGUUCAUGCUCUUCAUGCUGGUUGUUUCUAGUGUAUCUGAUACUUCCAGAAUUUUGUAUAUGAGCCAUCUCCAACCUACUAGGCGGUUUUAAUUGGUCGAAACUCUCUUUGUUUAGCAUCUUCAAAUAUUUGGUUGCUGUAUUGUUUUAUCACUCCUUCAUGGUGCAUAUAUACAUGACAAACAGUCUUAGUCAAAUACAUAUACACACGCACACACCAAUAAACACUAAACUUUAUUCUUUGUCUCUAUUACAGGACUUGCAGGUUAAGUCAUCACCCCCUGUUCUUCAGCCCACGCCAUCUAUCAACAAUGAUCCAGCUAUUAUACAGGUAAGUUCAAGCAAUGAAUUCACAUGUAGCACACUUCUUUACAUCCAGAGACAGCCUUCUACUGUUGCUCAGUCACCGGCAUUUUUCAUGCAGUCUCACUAUCCUCGACCAGUUUCGACUUCUUUGGGCAUGCCUUCUGCUGUUUCUGGAUCCUUGCCUGAUCCUGGGCCCCAAAAUGCACAAAUGGGAAUGUCUGCACCAAAUUAUCAAAGUGGUUUGCCAUUGUAUCAGCCUGCAGGAGCUUUAGGAACAUGGGGGCCUUCACCUCCUCCAAAUGCAAAUGGAACUGGGCUUGCUAUGCCGAUGUACUGGCAAGGGUAUUAUGGUCCUCCUAAUGGGCUUCCUCAAAUGCACCAGCAACAAUUGCUUCGUCCACCGCAAGGGCUCACAAUGAAUUCUACUAUGCAGCAGCAAAUGCAAUAUCCGAACUUUAAUGCCCCGUUACCUGUCGGAGUUUCAAACUUCCCGGUAUCAAAUAUGCCCUCUCAAAACAUGCCACCGUCCAAUCUUCCAGCCUCAAACUUGACACUGUCCAAUCUGCCAGCCUUAAACUUGCCACCAGCUUCGAACAUGCUAACUUCUAUACCCAUUGUUUCACCUCCUCUACUCCCUACCAGCACUUCUGUUAACUCUAUGCCGUUGUCUUCAGGCCUGCCUCCAACCCUUACAACAGAGCCUUCUUCUACCAUACCUUCUGAAGCAUUGCCUGGUUUGGUACCUGCCCGGGCAACCAACUCAGUUAUUCCAGCAUCCAACUUAAGUGCCAACUUGCCAUCCCUAACACAACUACCAACUUCAAUAUCUGAAUUGAACCACAUUCCUGGCAAGCCUAACCCAGUUGCUGCUCCUGCAAUACCUUAUUCUAGCAGCGUACAGCCUGAAUCAUCAGCUGCUGGUCCUUCAGUUCCUUUGUAUAACACUGCACUGCCGGCAUCAUCAGCUGCUGCAUCACGCACAGAAUCUCCUUCACUGGUAACCCCUGGCCAGUUACUGCAAUCUGGACCUUCAGCAGUUCAGUCAUCCGAGCCCCUGCAAACAGCUCAUACUGACGUGAAAGUUAUUCAGCCGUCUGCAACGUCUUCGUCAGAACCAGUUCUCCCCAUUCCCAAGGAAGCUCAACCACCAAUUCUCCCAUUGCCUGUACCUUCUCGGUCAGGCUAUAAGGUGUAUAUCUUUCAUACCUACAAUAGAUCAAUACUUACAACUCUGUUGCCUUCUCUUCAUGUGUUGCGGUAUGGUUUAAGUUCUACGUGAAGCUAAUUUUCUAUAUUGGGAUUCACAUAUAAAUUUUGAGUUAGCUAUUGCUUGAUUUCCUGUUUCAUUAUCUAUGGUCUUACCGUCUUAGUUUGCCCUUGGCAUUCCUAAAUUAAUUUUGAGUUAACUAUUGCAUGGUUUCCUGUUCCAUUAUCUAUGGUCUUAGUUUGCGUAGUUUUCUCUUGGCAUUCCUAAAUUGGUUUUGAGUUAACUAUUGCAUGAUUUCCUGUUCCAUUAUCUAUGGUCUUAGUUUGUAUAGUUUUCUCUUCUUCGUAUCGGUAAUGCAGAAUGGUAGGUGCAUUAAACUAUUUUCUGUUAGUUUCAGUCUGAUCAAGUUUCUUGUAAAACAAAUGAUUCCGCUUGGAAGGAAAAAUGGCAAGUUCGCUGUAGUCUUGUCAGGAUUGCGUCAAUGUCUGCACAAUAACACUUAGUCUUGUUAUUACGGUUGCAUAGUGCCGGUGAUUAAGCUUGCAGCUUUAAUCAUUUCUUCUCCUGCAUGUAUGCUUUUGAGGGCUAACAGUUCAUUUUUAUUUUUGACUUAUUUUUUAACAGCCUAACGGAGCUCCAUACCAUACUCGCCAUGGUCAUGGCUAUCGUGGACGGGAUAGAGGAAGAGGAGUUGGGGUAAUUUCUCACUCCCACUUGCAUUUUGUAUGUACUUUAGCUGCCUUCAUGAUCUGCAUAUCAGUCCUUGUGACUUGAAGUAUCACUCGGAAGUUUUGAUUACUCUGAGAGGUUUAAAUUUUUCUAAUCUAUCAGACACUUAAGAAUUGUUGGCUCAUUGGUUUUCUUAUUUUAUUAUUAGCUUGGCAUGUUAAGCGAUUUCCCGAUGUUUUUUAAACGUUCUAUAGUUCACUGUGAUACUUCCUUCAGGGAACUAGACUUAUAUGAUGUUUACUCUAAUUGUAGCUCUCACAUACUUGAAGUUUUGGGUCUCAAUGAGGGUUUUGAUUACUUUUUCUGUUUCUCACGCUGGAAUUUAGCUUUCCCAGUGAAUAACUGCAAUCAAAAUCUUAUGUGUAGGGUUCACGUCCGAUGACUAAAUUUACUGAGGAUUUUGACUUUUUGGCAAUGAAUGAGAAAUUCAAUAAGGACGAAGUAUGGGGUAACCUUGGUAAGAACAAGGCAAAGGACAAAGAAGACGGCAAAGCCAGUGAUGAAGAUGAUUUUGAAGAGGAAGAUGAUGUCGGCAAGGUCAAUGUUUUUCUGGCAUUUCAUUCUACUCCCUUCUCCUUGGUUGAUUACUUAAGAUAAUGCUGUUAAUGAUUCGACAUGAAUGUGUACCUUCCACCCUGAAAUUUCAAAGGGAUAUGCAUAGUUGAGCUCUGCUAAAUCCUGCGGUAAUUAGGCGUGGAAAGAGUGUUUAGGGCAUUUAUUUUCUAUUAUUAGCUAAAUUUCGAUUUUCUACCUUGCAGCCGGUAUACAACAAGGACGACUUUUUUGAUACCCUUUCGAGCCAUACACUUGGCCGCGAUUCACAAAAUGGAAGGCCUAGAUUCUCGGAUCAAAUGAAGUUAGACACAGAGGUUAUUGCUACAUUAAUUUAUCAAAUGCUGAUUGUAUAUUUAAACCAUACCGGUGCUAAUGGUUCGCUAAUGUUACAGACUUUUGGUGAUUUCCCAAGAUAUCGAGGCCGUGGAGGGCCACGGGGACGGUCUCGUGGUUCAUACUAUGGAAGGGGAUAUGGGUAUGGAUAUAAUGGUGGGAGGGGACGUGGGAACCGUGAUUCCUAGUUUAUGGUGCUUAGGAAUCUAGUUAUGGUUGAAGCUUUGAGGUAGACCCCAACUUUUAACUUUUGGUCUAGGGUUAUGGUAUAUGUCUGUGAGGGUUGUUUUCAUUUUAGUUUGGCAAAGAGAAACAAGGAUCGGAGAUGAUGUCUGGUUUUUUUUUUGUUUAGGAUAUAUUGGUGUCUUCCCCUCCUGAAUCCUUGUCGUUGGCCUUCCUCCUUACUGGUUAAAGGCGGCGGUCUUCGUAGAGGAAGUGGGUAUGCGUCCGUUGAAUGACAUUUCUUGUUGUUUGUUUGUGUGAAAACAUGAUGCUGUCGAUUUAGUAUAAAGUUACAAUGGAGGGAGAAACUGAUGAAGAAUGGACUGACACUCCUUUCUGUGGGUGUGUCAUGGCCAAUGCGAUGGGUUGUAUCUAUCUUGGCAGAAUGGUUUAGUUGAUUGUUAAUCAGUGCAUCCUUGAACCCUAUAUGAAGAGAUGUUUCGGAAUAUGUUUUUUUUGUGUGUGGUGUUGUUGUGUUUGUUAAUAUUGACUGCAGGCUUCUACAUUACUCUGGUUGAUUGUAUAACUUGUCUUAUACGUCGUUGAUCAAAAAGAAAUUGCAGGACUUGUCUCAAGUCUGAGCUUAAUCGUCAUUGAACUGGUACUAGUGUCUGCCAUGGGACGUGAGUUCCCCCAUCCAAAUGUGCUCCAUUGUCAAUGAAUUUGUUGAUGUAACCCGUGUACUGCCCGUAUCAUAUCUAAUACUUGCAUAGCUAAAAACAUUUUUUUUUCUCAAACUAGACCUUUCGGUUAGUAUAAGAUAGAAAAAAGAAAAAAGCAAUACAUAUGUGUUUGUACGUAGGGUGUCCGGUACCUAUGGGUUGUCAGAACCUACGGGCAUACAUUUGGUUGUCAACCGUCUGGCGACCGGGGUCUAAAUAAAUUCACAAUACCACCACUUCCGCCAUGGUUGCCCUUCUUCCUAAACUGACAUGGUCAUAAAUAAGGCUAAAUCUGAUUUUAUUGAGUCCAAACAGUUUUGUCGCUGUUUUAAAUCAUAGAUUGAGCGAGUCAAACGAGUUGAUCAUAAGGUAUGCAGAACAUUUUUACCAGUUAAAGAAGAAAAAGCGUCAGAUUUACGGCUACUUCCUCUUGAUCGAUGAAAGUAAAGCUUUAUCUUUUUGUAUUUUUACAUUACAUUAUACAUGAAAACAAUCCUUCCAAAGGUAAAAAAGACAACCAUACAUGUAAUUGUCAGAGCUCAUUGUUCAGCUCGGCAAAUGACUCUCCAACAAUGGUGAAAUGAUUCCACCAGCACUUUGAUUCCAUAAAUUAUAAAAUAGACACAGCAAAAUAAUUGUCAUAUCAUUUUCGUACGAGAGAGCAACGGGCUGCAUAAAAGAACAGUCAUUGUCUCGUAGAAAUUAGGAAAGCCGCGGAGGAUCCUUAGAUGAGCCAGCUGUCCGCCAGCCAACUGGAUUUUCCGAUGUCCGUUUCCCCACCACCACCGUUGUCUCUUGUGCUCUGUUUCUUUUCUUUAUUUUCCCACUACACACCAAUUCUCUUGUUUUUUACUUUCUCCCACCCAUUGUUUUACUCGGAAUCUCUCUGCCUUCGUCCUCUCCUCUUCACUUGGCUGGCCUCUACAUAAAUUCCCAUCCCAUUUAAUUGCUGAAAAUCCUAAAAUUUAUAUCACUAACCAUUAAUUUUGUUAUGUUUAAUUUCGAGAAUCAUUCCUCGGCUUUUUUUUCCAAAUUAAUUUUGAUUAUGGUUUCAAAUCUUGCUUCACUCAAAUUAGAAGUUACAAACGUAAUUCAUCAACGAUAUAUGACAAUUAAUUCUAUUUAAUAACUCGCUUAACCGUAUAAAAUACUACGUAUUCUUUAGUAUUUAUGUGAAUAUAAAAAGUAAAAGUGAUUCCUCUCUGUUCCGAGGUAUCCCAUUCUUCUGGAAACCAAAACGAAUUACGAAAACAACAUCCGCAAACCAACAAACGUAAAUUACUAAAACGUCAGUUCCUCUACGUGCGACGCCGGCCAUAAAAACUAUACACAAAACGACGCCGUCUCACACUUCCACUUCCCUAUAUGUACGUACCAUCCCCCAGCCAAACUUCAAACACUCACACACAACACAACACAACAAUUCGUUCUACCUAAUAUAAAAAAUGGCGAGCAGCAAGUACUUCAAGAUCGGGAGCUGCGAAGGGCAGAAGGAGGUGGACGGAGAAACGAUGCCGUUGGUGCUCGAGCCGGCCGACCAAGACAACAAGGACAUCGGGUCCCUCCUGGAGGCUCUGAGCAACAACAAGGAGUGGUUCGACCAAAUGAUCACCAAAAACAGCGCCGUUUUGCUCCGCGGGUUCGACGUCCAGAGCGCCGUCAACUUCAACGACAUCGUUGAGGCUUGCGACUGGGAGGACAUCAGGUAUGUGGGGCCCGCCCCUCGUACCCACAUCCACAAGCGGGUAUGGACCGCCAACGAGGGCCCGCUCUCCGAGUUCAUCUACUACCACCAUGAGAUGGUCCUGGUAAGUUAAUUAGUUUUUACAAACUAAUCACAUUUCCUUAAUAAUUAAUUAUGAAAGUGGUAUGGUAUUACAUUGAAUAAUAAUGAUCUAUAAUGUAUAGAUAAAGGAGUUUCCGAAGAAGGUGAUAUUGUACUGCGAGAUUCCGCCGACGGAAGGAGGGGAGACGCCGUUUGUUCCGAGCUUCAAAGUGACGGAGAAGAUGGUGAAGGAGUUUCCGGAAGAAGUGGAGGAGAUAGAGAAGAAAGGACUGAUGUACACAUUCUCAGCUCCGACAAGGAACACAACUACUUCCAUGAGAGGCAGAGGUUGGGAGGAUGCUUUCCUCACUUCCGACAAACACGAGGCCGAGAUCAGGUACCCUUUUAUUAAUAAUAACACUAACAGUCUUUUUAAUUAGGAUCAAUCAACUUUGCACAAAUUUCAUAAAUAACAUUUAUUCUUUGGAAAAAAUAUAUUUGGAGAGUCCACGAUGAUAUCACUAGAGCAGGUGAUGGAUCGAGUCAUUAUCGUCGUUUGCUCUAACUUUAAAUGGUUUAAGAGAUCGUUUGGAUGGAUAAUUUCACAGAAAAUAAACUGAACUGAAAUACCUAGUGAAUUAGGUUUGAAAAAUAAUAUUUAUUUAAUUUAGUGAUUUAUAUAUAUUUUCAUUUGGGCGAUUUAUACUGAAAAUUAAAGCACAUUGCGAAAUAAGUGUUUAUGGAUAAGAAAAAAGAAGUAGUAAUGUUAAUGGUAAUUUUUGAAUUAAUGAGAUAAAUGACAUAUUCAAAAAGAAAAAUCAAUGCACUUACUAUUUUUUGAAAUCUCACAUGGUUGAAAAUUUUAAUUCAUUUUGAUGUGAAAAUCAUUUGGGCCAACCAAAAAAAAUUUAAUUCACAAAAUCUCUUUUUAUUUUUCCUAGCCGAAACAGUCUAUUUUAAACCAAUUUUUCAUAUAUGAGUUUUCGAUCUCAUAAAUAACCUAAAAUCAACCACAAAAUUCUCUGAAUAAAUAGUCACUAAGAUUGUUAACUUGAUAAUUAAACAACAUCAUAUAGGUCAAAUCCGGAAUUUUAAUAACUCCAACCAACCUGAUCACUUGUCUAAACUAAAUCAUAAUCGAUUAAGCUCACAUUUGUUUGUUAUAGGCGUCGUUGACCCCAAAAAAGCUUAAUUUAUCCAAGCUGAUGAUAAGGAUAUCAGAUUAUUAUUAUUAUUAUUAUUAUGACAUCAACAUGAUUUUUAAUAAUUUGUUGGGGACAGGGCAAAGGCUCUAGGAAUGGAGAUAGAGUGGCUCCCAAACGGAGGAGCCAAGACGAUAUUGAGACCACGGUCACUGACUAGGGUGUUCGAAGGGAGGAAAGGGAGAAGGAUGUGGUUCAACACUGUCGUCGGAAUGCACGGCAAGGAGCAGAGCUCCGCAACAAUGGCGGACGGGACAGAGAUACCAGAGAAGUUUGUGAAAAGGUGUGGGGAGAUACUUGAAGAAGAGAGCAUCCAGUUCAAGUGGCAGAAGGGUGACGUGGCCUUCUUCGACAACUGGGCUCUGUUCCAUGGAAGAAGGCCUUCUUCUGCUCCAAGGAAAGUUCUUGUUGCCACCUGCAAGUGAUGAUCAGCUGGAUGCAAUGGGAUUUCAGGACUAUGUCUGAAUUUCUUCAUACUUUUAAAAGUCUACACUAUACUGAAAUAAGAACAACAGAAGGAGUCAGUAGUGUCUUUGUUUGUUUUAUUUUUACUUGUCAAUUUCCUUUCAUGUCUCCAGAGUCUGCUAUACUUUGUUAUUUGCUGGAACCAAUUAAGUGAAUAAUAACAUGAUGUGUAGAGUGUAUACAAAUGUGUGGGAUACCCAUAUAUAUGUUACCUGCAUUUCAAUAAUAUAUUUUACUACUUUUCUUACUUCAAAAAAGGUAUACCAAAAUAAUAUAGUAGUCUAGACAACAGUGAACAAAAACUAUAGUCAGUGUGUAAUCAACGUAGCGUGUGAAGCCUCGCAUGAGCAUCACUUGCUCUCUCAACGAUCCUCGACGGCAUAGAUCGGAAAUUUUUCUGUAAGUUUUUGGAUGGUGAUGAACACCCGACAUCGGCGUAGACUGGAAAUUUUUCUGUAAGUUUUUGGAUGGUGACGAACACCCGACAUCAGCGUAGACUGGAAAUUGAUGGCGGUGGCGAUCAAAGACUGAUGGUAUCAGCAACCUGCGACUGACAACCGAUGGCCGCGACAACUGACAUAGAUAGAGCCGAGUUUCAAGCUACGCAAUUACGAGUCCGAUUCUAAAACUAGUGGAUUUCCUUCUUAGAUCCGAUAGAAGAAAUCUAGCCCGUUGGAUUUUCACAUACUAAGAACAUUACCCAAUAUAAUCAUGUAUAUUUAAAUAUUUUUGUUGGACCAAACCAACAAUCUCCAAUUGAAUCGUGAUCGUGGUCCUUUAUGAUCCAGUUUAGUCACAACCUGGUCUGGUUUCGACAUAAAUGAGAAAACUCGAGAGCCGAGACUCGGACACAACGAUGAUGAUGGUCAGUUCACUAAACCCAAAACAAACGACCAUGGCAUGAGGCCCGAGUUACCAAUAUCCAACCCUGCGGUGACCAAGAAAUGAGCUCGUCGUCAGCCACCGGACCUCCGUCAUCCCUUUUCCUCCGUCCGACCGACGCUCCUUCCCUUUCUCGGCGUCGCAAUGUCGUCAUCCUAAGCUCUUUUUCCAUUUCAUUUCUCCGAUCCAAAAACCCUAGGUUACUCCGCCUCUCUGCUACUCCCAUCGAUGGUCAACUUGACAUCUCUUGGUUCCUCCCUACUCCUACCAACCCUCCUUCUGCCGAUGCCAACGGCAAUGACUUCAACGGCUGGGCCAUCGUCGAAGUCCCUCCGCCGCCCAAGAAGGAGAAGAAAGGUACCUUAAAACUCUGUUUGUCGAAAUUGAGUGAAGUUUUUUCGCAAAUUGUCUACUGCUUAAGUUCAGAUGAAACUAUCGCAGGACUUCCCAAGGGGGUAAUUGGUGGAAUUGGGGUUUGUGCUGCUGCGGCUGUUGCCGCCGCUGCAUUGUUCUCACUCUCGAGAAGUGGUUAGUUCUUUUUCUUUGCCGAGAUGAAAGUUUUUGUUAGUCCAUUUCUGAAUUAUUGAGGUAGUGAUUCCAAUGUUUGGAAUGUCAAUUCCCACAGGAUUUAGAUUGCAACUUCGCAGCCCUAAGGAUGCCAUUGUAACUAAUGAGGAUACCCAAAUCGAAACCGACAACGAAACCAGGGACGUUGGUUUGGGUGAUGAAGAUGAGGGUGUUUCUGAGGUUAUCCGUGAGUCUAUUGCUGAGCAUCCUUUGGAAUACGAAAUUUCUGCUACAUGUUUACCCUUUUAUGAUUUUCCAUUUCCAUCACAAUUGAUUCUUGACACUGAAGGAUUUAUCAAGUUUAUUUCUUGGCUAUCAAUUGGUGGUGUUACUUUUUCUACGUUUAUAUAUUCGUUUCUUUAUCCUCUUCUUUUUCUUCUCUUUCAGCAUCUAGAGAUAAGAAUGGACGUGCUCAAGUUUCAGUUGCUUUGGAUUCAACUCAAAUGGAAGCCCUUGUGAACUUGCAGAAACUGAAGGUUUGAUUUUUAAUUGCGUUUCUGACAUGAACCAUACAUUUCUCAUAUGUCAACGACAUGUUUUUUUGCGAUGAAAUUCAUUAAUAUAAUCUGUUAAUGAACUUAUACUUCAUCCAGUUUUAAGCAUGGCUGUUGUCUUUCAAUCAAGGUAUACAGAUAAUUGAAGACAACAUAAUGGUUGAUGACUUAUGCACUAGAAGGGACUAUGCAAGAUGGUUGGUCCGCCUAAAUUCCCUACUUGAGAGGUAACUAAUUGCUUGUCCCUUCCAUUGAAAUUCUGUAGUUCCUUGCUCGUUUGAUAUUCAUCCCGGCAGUCUUAUAAUUGUUUGCAGAAAUCCCAAGCAUAGAAUUGUGCCGACUAUAUCUUUGUCAGGCUCACUUAUGGCUGCAUUUGAUGAUGUUAACAUCGAUGAUCCAAAUUUUGUGUAUAUUCAAGGUAAGUACACAUAAUUUAGUUUUAGUAUGUCAUAUAAUUGUGUUUUGAUAAAAGUGUUUUGAAUUGUAUGUUUCUGAUUUGCAUAUUAGCUCUAGCGGAGGCUGGAAUCAUACCAAGCAAAUUGUCUUCAGCAAGUUUGUUUUGUGACACUGUAGAAGAAGCAAUCUCUUACUUUUACCCAGAUAGGUAUGAGAUUGGGAACAAUUUUACACAUGAGUUUUGAAUUUCAAUUAAUCUUGCAUUCUUCUGAAAACAAUAGAAUGCAUGUUCAUAUAGGCACCUUUCUCGUAAAGAUAUGAUCAACUGGAGAACUCAGCUAGAAUAUGGCAUCUCGCCAGGAACAAAAGAGCAGGUUUAAUAUACCUCUAAACUGUGUUUCUCAUGUACAUGAUUAAAGAGAUAAAAAUAGUUUGGUUCCAUUGGAUAUUUUCAUUUUGUAGCUUUUUAAAACCUGCUUGUUUACAGUCCAGAUGUCAAGAAUAAGAGCAGAUUACAUUGAUGUGAAGGCAAUCACUUCAGAUGCAUCGCCCGAAUUUUUCACUGACAUGCUGGCUGGCGAGAAAAGUAUAAUCAGAAAAGUUUUUGGUAAUGUUUCAUCUACUCUGCUACUUCUUACCAUUAAGUAAUUGCAUUGCCAAAAAUGUACACCUGUAUGAUUUUAGCACUCAGUUGAAAGAUAACUUGCAAGUAGUAUGUGCCAUUAAGGCUAAAGAACAGAUAGUUAUGAUGGUUUUACGUUCCAUGACAUGUAAUAGGAUAAUUAUGAAUGGUUUUGGAUUCUCCAUGUUUUAGUCUUUCUGAAAUGAAUAAAAAACAUGAAGCGCAUUAUAUGAUAUCACUUAGGAACUUCCAAGCCAGGAAAGUUUAUUUAACCUUCAUACUGUGGUAAUCAUAAUUUCAGGACAGAGCAGGCGUUUUCAGCCAAAUAAACCAUCAACCAAGGCACAAGCAGCUGUGGCACUAACUAGUGGCAGAAUGACGGAAGCAGUUCACAGCGAAUUAUACAGACUGGAAGCAGAGAGUUCUUCAAGGCAAGCUGCUGUCGAAGAAAUAAGGUCCGAGUUACUUGAAAGGGGUGAUAUAGUAAAUUUUUGGAAUGAGAAGCUGCUAGCAGAAAGAAACCGUUUAAUGGAGGAGCAGGAGCUCUACACUACCACCUUACAGGAUUUGGAUAUGGAGAAGGAUGUUAAGGUCAAAUCUUUGGUAGAGAACACGAAGGAGAAGGCAGCUAUGGAGUGUCAGAGACAACUGAUUCUAACUCUUAGGCAAGAGAUUGAUGAGAUGUCAGAAAGGCUUACAUCUGAGAGGGCUGCAUGUGUGGCUGAGCAAUGUAACAUUCCGGAGUUGAGGAAAGCAGCAACGACUAAUCUGGAAGGAGUUCGUGAUGCCAAAUCCAUAUUGGAAGCUGAAAUUGAAGCUUUAAAAACGCUCAGGUAAAAACUCAUCAGAAUGGAUUUCAUAUUUCACUAAUCUGUAACAGUGUAGGAAAUCAAUUUCCAGUACUCAAAAAAUUACUGUGUACGCUACAAAUGCAGGACUUGGGUAGAAGAUGAAGCAAAGAAAAGCCAGGCGCGCGCUAAAGUUCUCGGGGAGGUAGGACGUAGGUGGAAAUGGGACAACUGAACAUGAUUUCGUGGGGUGUUGUAUAAGUACAAAUUGCAAAAUAAUUAUCUGAUCGUUUUCUGAUUUGUUUACUUUGAUGGAAAUAGCAGAGUGCUUUAUAAACCAUCCUAGGGUGGUAGUGUAGUAUUUCACAGUCUUUCUGAAUCUGCUGCGCAAUAGAGUGUAGUGUUUGCUUCAUAAAUGUGGAUAAAUCAGGCCGUGGAAAGGAUGGAUUUUUGCCCUUUUCUGGCUUUGCCCAGAAGAUCGUUUGCUAACAACACUAUUAAGUGCAAGUUCGAAGUGUGCUUCCCAGUGAUGAUUGAAGUGGUAAAUAAAAACAAUGUAUGUUUCAGUCAAUAGUUAUUUUCUUCUUCAUAUAGAUCAGCUAUUUUGUUGGCAACGACAUAAUCUAUUCAUCGAUGCUGCAUCUUCAGAGUUGCUUAUUUUACACUGUGUGAUACAUUAGAUUGACACAUUUCCUCAACAUUUCACACUAGCAACAUGUAGGCAGAGAGCAACAUACUAUAUUCAGUUAAAGUGUUGACAUAGUAAUCGGUAGCGUAUGAUGGACUUGAAGAAGUCAAUUUCCGAUCACCUAGUUAUCUCGAUUUGAUUACCUUUACAGUCGUAAAAUAUGACCCCUGAGAAUUCAGGGGGCUGGCAUUUCUCGCCUCUUAAUAUCGACUUCUGCCACAACCCUCCUUCCCCAAACCUUCCUCCCACUCCCGCCAUUUUUGCUUCAAGUUUCCCCUUUUUUUCGAUCGUACUCGCACGUUCCUUACUAGCUCUUCUCGCUGGAGGUGGUGGUAGGGGAGGAAGAGGAGAGGGAAGUGGAACUUGAACACUGAUGUCUACUCUUAUCUCGUGGUCAUGGUCAUCGACACAACAACUGCUCUUCUUCUUCUGUGUUGCUGCUGCAGAGGGGUUUAUCCUUUUUAGACUCAUGGUCUUCGUAAUCAACUUUUUCGACGAAUUUCUGUUUGCAGGUGCAUGGGCACAUAAACCCACUAGAACUGCAACUGCCACGAACAACCCGAUGGACAGCGGCAUGGUUGGCCAGGAACCGAAACUAUGAAAAACUAUCGAGCUGUGCUCAAGUAAGAGUAACCGGGCCAUUAAUAAUUGUACUUCCACGAGAGCAAAAGGAAAAAGAUCGCAACAGAGGCACAAACAAUGUAGUUGGUAAUUAGUGAUUAGUAAGUGCUUGGUAAUGUCUUGAGAUGCCAAAUAUAUAUACGAGAUAGGAGUGGGAGAAGACGACAGAGGAGGAGGAAGGAAGAUGGCGCAGAGUAGUGAGUCUCUUCCUCUUAGUUUGGAGUUCUAGGAAGCAUGUUUAUCUUGUUCCAUGCAGGUGUUGUAUUGUUGAUAUAUAGUAUAGGUCUUGAAUUAAUUAGAGUGCCUAGCUAGCUCAGUGUGGUAAUUGUAUGUGAGUUGGUAUUAUUUACUCAUCUGGCUCUGCGUCGUUUUUGGGUAGAGACGUACGUACGUAUGGCGCCCAAGAAUUUUUGUCUCCUAUGUUAUGCUGGAGAUCGUCUUGUAGUUGAAAAGUAAUAAUUGGAAAAAGACGAUUGGAGAUUCUGAGGUGCCGUUGUUGCUGGUUUAUCGGGCAUUUCUUGAACUGGCUCUGUUGUGCGCUUUGCUAUCGUAUAUGUUUUUGGGUAGAGACGUACGUACGCUUGGCUCUGGGGUUCAAAUCUUCCACACCACGAUUUUGGCUUUCUUUUCUUCAAACUUAUUGUUGCAUUGUGAUUUGUGUCACCUCUGGUCAAUUUGCCUUUGCUUCUCUGACAAGCGGAUAGCAAGUUUCUACGGCUGCAUUAUUUUAACGUAAAAUAUCUCCAUUCAUGGUUACGUCAACAUUUUGCAUUGUUCCAUGCGUGAGAAUCAAUAUUUGCAUACACUUGGAUUAGGACUGUAUUCUGCACGUUUCCUAAUUCAUAUGUUUCCAAUUCGGACCACAAUUGAUUCAUAAGUACUUUCGUUACCUGGAAAUUUGAAUUAGAGCUCGGACGAGAACGGGAACGAGUCCAAUAAAGUGAGCUUAAUCUGGAGUUUGUAUACUAAAUACAUCGAUCAAUCAAACUAAAAAAUAAAUUAUUAGAAAUUUACAAAUCAAUAUAUUUCUCAUGCAAUUAAGUUAAAUCUAAAUCACGUAUUACUUUUUUUUGCAUUAACACAACCUCAACUCAUAUAUGAUUUAUAUUUGUUGGGUUUAGAAGCAAAACACAUCACAUGUACUUAUUAUUGAGCUCAGCCUGCUAAAGAGCCAUAUAUAGAGUCGAGCUUGUAUUUGGGUUGGCUUUCGAUCUAGUGCUUUAGCCAGCUCACAAGCCUACAAAUCGAACAUUCCCAAGAGUCAAUCUUUAGCCAGCUCACGUAUAUAUAACCUCUUUUCGAGUUGAACGCGGCUCGUCUUGCCUCAAAACAGCCCUAAAGAGAGGAUUUUUAUUUAUUUUAAUUAAUUUGGAAGAGAGCAUACAUGUUGUAUAUGUAAGAAAAUUAAGCUAGCAUGAGUGGGAGUUAGCCAGAUUCAAACACGAAUGAGAUCAACUUUAACUGAAUGUCAAGAAUCUGGAAUGAAAAUGUAAACUUGAGCUGUUAAUUACUCCCUUCAGAUAAAUUGACAGCUGAUCAUAAAGAAAUGGGUUGGUCAGUUAGCAGGUAUAAGGAUAAUGGUGUACUGAUAUCAAAAGAUGCAGCAUCGGUAAAUAUUAUACACAGCUAGCUAGGAAUGGCGUCUAGAAUUAGAGCUAGCUAGGUUGUUUGUUUUCUUUGAUUCUUUCUCUCAUUCCAUGUGAAGUAGCUGCUGGUAGCUUGAGAACUUUGUUACCGUGAUUAGACAGGUCAUAUAUAAAUCCGUACGUAUAGUAUAGGAUCUAACUUGACAAGAUUAUAAUUAUAAUUGCUGCAUACAUACAGUUGGAAUUCUUAGCAACCUAGUGGUAGGAUUAUUAUUGAUUAAUCAACUACAGUUCUGAUUUCUGAUCAACAUCUUCGCACAUUACACAAAGCCACUCAAGAGAGAGACAGAGUGAGCAAAUUAAUAAUACACACUAAGGAAACUAAAAUCAACACAAUUAGGUUUAAAAAGAACCUUAGGUUCAUGCAGAGAAACUGCGUUAAUGAAUACUAUCUAAUUAAAACCAAUCUGAACCCUCUCCCAACAACUAGAAUUAUUGGAAUGCAAUGAUGCAUAUAUGACAAAGUGAUGAAAAUAGCUUAUUUGAAUACCUGUUGCCAAUAUUGAGAGCCCAUGAUCAUGAACAACUCGGACCCUCCGGAGUCUAAACCCAGGGAUGAAGAAGAAGAUGGAAGAGCAGUACUUAUAGGGUUUUUCAGGGAAAUCGAACAUGGCGGGCACUGCUCCUCGUCAUAGUAGUAGUUACUUUCCUCUAACAUCUUCUUCUUCUUGUUCUUCUUCUCCGUAGUUCGUUCCCUUGCCCUAGCUCUCGCCUUGUCCCUUGUCUCCUUGCUGAUUGGACAAUGUUUCGUGCUUGGUAUACACGAUUCCAUCUUAUCCUUCUUGUUCCUAUUAGUACUUUUGGCCGACGACAUAACUACUACCUCAGUACUAAUCUCGGAGCAUGUACUAGUACUACAAGUAGUACACACGUCGAUUUGGAGAUCCUGGAUGGCGGAUUUCGACAUGGUGAAGAGCCACUCGAUGGUUUUGCUUGCCUUAUCGAAACCCAACAUGUCUUGGAGAUCGAAGAACCUGCGAGCGACCGGAAGAGAAAGCCUCAUCCUCCUGUCGCGAGCACCUUUGGCCGUGUAGAUCUUGCUGUGCCUGUCCUUCUUCCCUCCUCUACUUGUUGAUCUCUUCCUAAUAACUUUCCCUUCUGAUCUCUUAUUCUUCUUCAUCUCCUCCUCCUCCUCCUCCUCCUCCGGUAUCUGGGGGGGAGGAGGAAGCGGAUGAUCUUGAUCAUGAUCCAAUAUUAUUGGGGAGAGAUCAUCGAGAAAGUCAUGAUUAGGAGCAUAAGAAAGGAAGGGAUUUGGGGAGAAAUGGUAGUAAUGAUCCUCAUUAACAAGUGAGGUUAAGGAGGCUGAUGAUGUUGCAGUAGGAGGUUGAUUAGGGUUUAGGGUAUCUGUAGGAAGAUUUGGGAUGAACAUUGUUUAGUUCGUUGAGGUGGUCAAACCAAAAAGGUUGACGGUAGUUGGUGCUGCGGCUGCUUAGCUCUUGGAGAGCUAUAUACAAAUUGUUAUCUACUGAUAAUUAAAGAGGGAGCAAAUGGUAGGGCAGAUGGGAAUAGUGGGGAAGGGCAACUACUACUACUUUACAUACAGUGAACAGCCUUAUCUAUCUAUCCAUCUAUCUAUUUAUUGUACGACACACAGAGGUAGACCCACCAAGGUUGAAAACAACCAACACAUCCACUCUACGUUUGCUUAACUAGGGUUUUAGGUUUUUGUUUUUAAUGAAAUGAUGUUUUUCAUCUAGAAAUCCUUCCUUUUACUUUGAAAUAAUAAAAAAUGUGCUUUGGUGUUCCACUGUUUUGGAUUCUAUUUCAGUAUCAUGGAGUUUGAAAUUUUUGUUUCUAAACCCUUCCUGCAUAUAUAUCAGAUUUGGAGUUGCUUGCUCGUCAAUCUGGAGGGUUUGAAUGAUGAUAUCUUUUCGGGGUGCUGGAAACACCUAAUAAGAUUAGUCAAAGGACGGACCUUUAAUUGCCUGGAGCAUAAUCUCGACCACUACUACUACCGCAUCUACAUCACUUGGACUGGGAACUGUGGGUGCUGCGUUGAAACGUGGAUGCAUGUUAGGUGGAAACCGGCGCCACGCGGUUGGGCCACGUCCAAAGCAGGUGGUUCCUACACACCAUCUACACGACAUGCAACAACAUGAGCGGCCGUAAGAUAUUUGCAGGGUCGCUUAUUGGGUGCCUACACCAUCAAUCUGGGAAGUUUUUCCAUGUGGAACUCAAAAUCGCCAUUGAGAGUCAGUCUCCCGUUUGCAAGGGGACCAUUCCUUACAACAGUCCCCAAUACAUUUGAAGAUUGUUUUACAACUUAAGUUUAGAUCGGGAACUUAUAUUAUUUUCUUACAUGUCUUCUCAAACAAAAGGCAACUUCCGCGUUUGAAGUUUGCACAAACCCACUAUACCUUGGAGUCGUGGAGAUUCGAACACACUAUCGUUUGGUCUAAAGGCUUUGAUACCAUAUCAUUAACCGUUACAUCCUAAUAACUCAAGUUGUUGAGAGAUGGUUAAUUACGAAUUUUAAACCGGAUUUCUUAGAAAAUACAUCAUCCAAAAUCCCAUAAAAUCUCGUAUUAUGGUACUGAAUGAUUCUGUUGGCAGUAGGAGUGAACAACAUCGAAGAUGGAGGCAAAUCGUGGGAAUUGCCGUUUAUAGCUCUGCUCUGUACAUUGAAAUUUCCAUCUUAACACAACGAAAGAAAGAAAGAAUUGUAUUGAAUUGAGCCGUACGGAAGUCAGCAUUAAUUAUAUUAUUAUUUACUUAAAUUAGUGUGUCCAUUGCCCCAGUCUAGCAACCAGCAGCUAGAUAGAUAGUAAUUGUUAGUGAGAAAAAGAAUGAGUGGUGGGAGAAGGAGAUGAUGAAUGAGAUGCCAAUUUCACAUGGCUACAGAGAGAGCAGAUGAACCAGUGGUGCCAAACUGCCAAAUGGGUUUUACACCUUCUUACUUAUCGUCACCAAUAUCACUGUCAGUACAGUCACCAUUUCUCUGUGCACUUGAGAUUUUCUCAUUUUAGUUUUCUGAUAAUAGAAUUUGGAAACUGCAUCCAUGUCAUUAUAUUAAGCAAUACAAUAUAGGAAAGAGACGCUUAGUAGUGUACUAUUACUAUGCGGACAUAUGCGUUGCAAUGAGAGGUUGGGAACCAAACACAUAACCCGAUGAAUAACUGGUUAUAUAUGAUGCAUCGCAAAAUUCACAAUAGGUGUCACAUGACACAUUCGAUCCCCCAAACGAGUUGAUAGAAAAGUGGUUAACUUUGAUCACUGAUCCCCAAUUGUCAUUUAAUUUUACUAAUGGAUGAUUUAGAUGGUGAUUUGAAAUAAUUGGAGAUGAUGGGCUAUGGAGAUUUCACUUUGAGAUCUAGGUCUGAAGCCUAUAGAUGUUCGGACAGCAGAUCAAUCUGGUGUGCCAAGGAGCGCCCCAACCAGCAAUUAUGGGCCAAAACUAUAGGGAAGGAUUGUUGGGUAUAAUGACCGAUGAUCUACAAUCCACAUAUUACCACAAGGAUCAACAACUCAUAUCUCGACACAUCGACAUGAGGUCUGAAAUCUCGAAACUACUAUAAAAAAAAACCUCAUUCAUUUAUUGCAAUGGACUAGACACUAUUCACUUCUCUAAUAUAGCCUACCUACGUCGCCCACUCUCUAUGGCACCAAACGCCCAGGCUCAUAUAAUUGCCUAUGAGCUCACCCCCAAUACUUUUCUGUCUCCCCCUCUCAAUCAUAUAUCCACAUUACCCUCCAUACACACGAACAAUACUAACGCCCACAUACUUCUUUGUUAGGAAAGCCCAAGGGUUUUAGCAUGCCACUCAAAUUGGGAGGUACUACUCAAACCGGUUCUACUUCUUUACUAACAAAUUAUUUAUUGGUUGGACCAAUUUAAAGUGAUUUGGACCAAUCGAGAAGUUUGAAUGGAAUUUGCUAUUUUCAAAAUAUAUCGCUUAGAUGGAUGAUUUGAGAGUGAUUUUAAGUGCAAUUAUUAUGGAGAGAAAAAAUAUAUUAAAACAUGUGAGUUUAUUUAUGAUUAUAUCAACUACGAAAAGAAAAAAAAAGAGUAAUUUUGAUUAAAAUUCAAAAAUCUCUUUUUUCUCCUCCGAAAUCUCCCUCUUUGGGUAAUUUGAAAUCACACAAAAAAAAA
This 49279-nucleotide long non-coding RNA is filed under the name Linum usitatissimum (flax). RNAcentral describes it as "long non-coding RNA (LUSI_LNC006169)". Lineage: Eukaryota; Viridiplantae; Streptophyta; Magnoliopsida; Malpighiales; Linaceae. The record is from RNAcentral.